This 45305-nucleotide long non-coding RNA is filed under the name Xyrichtys novacula (pearly razorfish). The record is from RNAcentral. Lineage: Eukaryota; Metazoa; Chordata; Actinopteri; Labriformes; Labridae.
UCCCCCGUGUCGUUCAGGAGCCCAAACAAAGUUAGCGUGCUACAAUAUCGGACAGUAGAAACCAACCAGAAAGUUUGGAAAAUUGUCUGAAUCCUCCUUUGGCCACGACUGCCGACACAAGCAAGAAAACAAAGUAAAUACCGGAGACUCUGGAGGAAUAACGGGCGCUUAAAACGGAGGUAGACCGGACAAGAGCUAAAAAGCCGGGUCAACAUAAACCAUGGGGGACGCUUGGGGAUCUUGGUGACCCUGUAACCUUUCUGCUGGACAGGUAAACCGCUUUAACAAAGUAAGACAAGUGUCUGUAACAGAAGUGUUUCUUGUCAAACGGACCUGCUGUAGCGUGUUGUAGCGCCAUCGCUAAACUGUCCUCCCUCGGGUCCUGGACUAUGUCACUUUAUCCUCGUUGUAGAAGUCCUGCAAACAUUGUGUUUGCUGGUAGUCUGUUGGCAUCUACAGUAGCACCAAUGCUUUUGACUUUCACCUUGACUGGGCCCCAUUUGUAAUGAUCUGAAUUAUCUGUUUGUGGGCGGGGCUUGCUGGAGCAGAGAGGAGGAGCUGAGGGGAAAACUGGUUGGGAGGGGUAGAGUUUACAUUCAAGAUUUCUCCCAAAAACCGGAACUAACUCAGAUCCUGACUACCCUACCUUUUAAUUAUCACACAUCAGUGUUGAAUACUUGAUUCUGAUUGGUCCAAACCCCGAAACAACACGUCUGCAGUCUUGCACACGGGUUUACCUCUUCCUGUUGACGAUGUGGCAAAAACAGUCAACCUCAUUUCUCAGCUUUUUGUUUGUCUUUAUCGAUCAAACCUGUAAAACUCUCAUGUUAUUCAGCUGAGAUGCAUGAAACAUGUUCGGUGGUUUACUUUUAAAUCAGAGUUUAGUGACCUCCAGGAACAAAUACUCGAGAAAACACGCAGCAGAUAAGUAAAAAUGGCGCUCAAGGUGAGCUAAGGUUUGAAGGGAAUCAUGUUUAUAUUCACAUUUUCCCUGCAGCUCCAGUUUUGUAUUGAGACUAUAUGAAAUGCAUUUUCCAUGGCACACCUUCAAUACGAGGUAAAUAAUGAGACGGGCUCCGGUUGGUUCGCUUUCUUAUCUCGCCGGUCCAAAGAGGAGCGUUUCUGAAGGCCAAACAAAGCCGCCUCUUUGGGGAGAGGAUGAGUCCUUGUUAUAAAAACUUCAAUGUAAACCUAUACAGAAAGAAAAAAACAGUUUUAAUACUGAAAGGAUGCACAGGAAAGCACAGGGAAGCUGCUCAUAAGUGAACAUAAACCAACAUUUGUUUUCUAUCUUUAUUGUUGGUGAUUGCAUCUCUCCAGGAAGGGAAGGAGACACGGCAGAACGGCGGUUAUGAGGAGAAAUAAACAAACGAGAGCAAAUUUCUGCAAGACUACAAAUGCCAUGGUAACAGCACACACUGAGCGAUUCUUCUCUGUCUGCAGACCGAGCACAGGUUUGGACUCAGCUGCAUUCAGGAGGACUCCAUCUCAUCUGAAAAACACUUCAACACGCCGAACAAAAAACACCACAUUUCCCUCCUUGUGUUUUGAAGCUGUAACUUGGAUCCCAAAGGCAUCAAACAGCGUUGUGUUUUUUUUCCUUCAGCGGCGGAGAAUAAUCUCAGCCCCCCCGGUGCUUUUAUUGCUACUGUAUCACUUUCAGAGCCACCUCGGAGCGAGGAGGGGGGUCUGCCUGCUUUUGUUCUGCGAGCUGUCGCCGCUGUGCGUCGUAGGUGAGGAAUAUGGGCGCUGACUUUGUCGAACAAUCGUAACCCUGCGUCUGAAUAAAGGCCAGACUUUCCUCUCUCUUCUGGGUCCUGUUCAAGCUCUUUACUUACAGCUGAAAUAUUGAGAUGCUCUCUGCCAGAACUUAAAAGGAAAAACACUCAGGAGGGAUUACUCAAACGGGGGCAUGGCCAUGACUACGAAAUUGAAUCGUUCCCCGCUGGGUUUAUCUUUGCCAAAUGCUAUUUUUUAUCGCGUUGAAAUGAGCGGGGAACUAAACGGGGAGCGCGAACAAAGGAACAACACCUGCAUGUGUGAUUAGAAAUCACUCACUGAGCCCUGGGAAGCCAUGCUAAUGUUCUCUCUGUGCCUUACUGUACCGACUGUGCAACCAACACUGCAACACAUGCCGGCUCCACCUGCCGCCCCAGAGGCAUCUGCGCUGAUUCGAAGUGAGCUACUCAGUUUCUGUUUGUGAUUCAUGCAGAAAUAAUAAUACAGUUUCAACCAGGAGGACUUUCACACAGCUGAGGUCUCUGCAGAGGUCGGCCAAUCAGACGUCAUGGAGUUGGUUUUGUAGAGACUCAGACCUGCCGGGUUUAGAAGGCCAUCAGGAGACGCACACUGACAUCAGAGCUCGACCAGAAUCAGGCGUCAUUAGUAUUUCAUGCAGUAACGCAUUCUCACAGUAGCUGCAUUUACAUGGGCACAAAUAAUCGGAAUAAAUGCGCCAUGUAAACAUGUCGAUCGGAAGAUUACGAUCCAAUUUGGCUCAAUUGGAGAGAAGUUGCAUUAUUCCGAAACGCGUCCAUGUAAAGACUUAUUCUGAUCGACUCUCUAACCUGACUCGAUCUUCUCUCUUUAGCCCUUUGCUUAUUUAUUGAGGUUUUUUAUUAUUAACACUCUGACCACAGGAGCCAUGUCUGCUCCUCCGGUAACAUAUGGCGUCCAUACAGCGUAACAAAGUCACAUCCUCACGCAGCGCAAUCUUUGACAGAACAGUCAAAUAAGUACGCAGUUUGAGAGAGAUUGCGCAUGUCCAAAUGCAAUGCAAUGCAAUCCAAAAUUUUGGACAUGUAAACAUGGCUCAUGUCUAAGAAACACUUGUGUUGCAUCAUGCAAACAAUCGCCACUGCUGUCGGUCAUGCACAGUAGGCUAUCUGGAGAUCUGGAGACGUUCGUAUGUUAUUAAUGCACCAACGAUUGUCGCUGGUUUGCAAGAUGUUACACAAUUUGUGUUUGGUACAGCUGAGAAAGGCUGGUUAGUGCACGGUGUCCCCACCCAGCGAAAAGUGGUUGAAAAGACGUCUUCACCACACGUCUAAACAACGUCUAGAUUCGGCCCGUCUAAAUAAAGCCCAGUUUCAACGUCUUUUUUUAGGCUAAAUUAGGACUGAAUCGAACCGUUUAAACGAAGCCCAGUUUUCAACAUCUUUGAUAAACUUCAGAGGGACGUGCAAAUUCUCUAAAAAACUCCAACAUCUCAAACACGGCAAGAGGUCAAGCUCCCUGACUUCUUCCAAGCAAACAGCUGCAAACUAUCGUCCUGUCACUCAAAGCAGCCACGCCCCUUUAUUAUGACCCACAACUCUAAACCCUCAUAUAAGUCGAAUAACUUCGCCUGCACAGUGUCAUGGCUGCAGGAUUGAGCCACAGUGACCGAAAGUCUCCUCCUCCUACCAUUUUAACUCAGUGUUGGAGCCUGAUUCACUUUUUUGCACGUCUUAAAAACACUUUGUUGGUUUGAUCCAUCGUCGAUAAAAGCAUUUACAUCUAUUAACAGCUUUGGCUCUGACCUGAAAAUGUGAAAACUGAGAAAUCAACGUGAUAACUGCUGCCGGUACCAUCUCCCUGUGAGCGCCGUGGUGCUGUGAGGGAGGGAAUCGGAGGUUUAAGCACGAUCGGACAGGAUGAAUUUAUAAUCUUAAUCACUCUUAGUGACCGUGACAAGCUAACAGUUAUUAAAGCCGGCCUGGAGGCACUUCACUUUGCCUAUAAUGUCUUGUGAAUGACAGUUAAUGCCGACCCAGACAAUCUUGUUAAAAAGCCUUUUAAUCAGCCCAGCAAUUAGGGAAAAAAGGCUCAUCCAUUCAUUUCUCCGGCCUCUCUCAGAGAUUUGAGUCCCCGCUAAUUGAAACUAAUUUUGAGUCAGGUGCCUGAGUAUUAUUAGGUUUUAUAAUAUCAGCCUGCGUACACCUGUAGUUGAACUCAGAAGGACACUCUGUAUUCAGGCAGGAAGAAUAAUCAUUCAAUUUCUCACACUACAACCCGCCCGCCUCUGUUCGCCGCUCUGCUUUUGUGGCGGUCCGUCUGCCUGGUAGACACUUGUCACAGCCCUGACUCAGAGUCCCCUCUCAGAAAAACACACCUGGCUGCUUUGUCACAGUGUCAUUCAACAGGCAUGAGAGAGCGAGACAGAGCGAGAGAGAGAGAGGUGAGGGAGAGUCGCUCCUGUGCUUCCAUGCACCCUUUCUAUUUGACUAGACUUUGGUGUGAAACCGCUCAAUAUUCUGGGUUCGGAGCGGCUGCUUUCCCAGAUCAGUGGAGACUGAAUACAUUAAGUUGAGGUCCGUGUUCAGGCAUGGUUGAAAUGCAAAUAAUUCACGCCCCUGAAAUCAAAUCAUUUCAGUACCUGCUGAACCCAAAAGAGAAUAUAUUUUUCUUUUUUUCCAGCCGGUACACAGGUACCUGCCUGAAGCAAUGAGAGGGAGCACAGUCAUGUUCCACAGGAGAGUCACUCAAGUGCAUAUUCAGACUUUUUCUAACUUUGUCCUCUUUACUCACUCUGCUGGUGAACUUUGGCAUCAUAGCAGAGACACGAGUAAAGAAACAUAUAACCAAACCGCUGACUGAGAACGCUUCGUCUGCACCGAGAAGACGGGUUAGAUCCUCGCUCUGUGGGCGACGUUCACGACUUCAGUGUGUUUGAACCAACGAACGUAAAAAUGAUGGAAAGGAGAAAUCUGCAGAACUACAAAUCCACAUCCUGUCAGAUUUCCACUGUAGCAGAGAAAUGUUACAAAUUAAUCACUUUACUGAGAUUAUACUGCAGAAGGUUAGAAGACUAAAACACACAGUUACAGCUCGAGAGUGAGAGUUAAAGGAGGGACUCAGAUUUUCAUUUCACUGUACUUUUUCGUCCCGGCUCUGCUGUCUCUUUUUUAUCGAGACUCCUCGUCCCUUGGGUCGUUCUCCUUCACUUUAUGCUAAUGUGUAGCGGGAGUUCCCUGAAGGUACAGUCUUUACAGACUUUAAGACAUCUGUGAGUACAGCAGUACAGCAGAAUCGCUCGUUCUGAACGAAAAACUGUUCCUGAAAAAGUGAAACGGUUGAAUUAGUCGUUUGAGAGACUGAGGAAGUGGAUGACAGGGAAGUACCUUCAUUAUGUGCACUUCCUCCAGUGACCAGCAGGGGUUGAUUCCAGUAUUUAUCAGGUAACAAAUCAUUGAACAACAGUCCAAUGAUGGGGUGAAACACUAGACGAUAUAGUCGCCAUAUUUGUUUGCCUUCCCACGUGUCGCUACCCGAUCCAUCCCGGAAGCCCUAUUUGUACCGCGCAUGUGCGAAACGUUUGUCACUUCCCCUCUUCGUAAUUUAAUGAAUUUUACGUCAGUGAGUCGUUACUAUUGCUACCUACCUGAUCCGUACUGCGCAGGUGCAAAAUUACCUUAUUUUAAAAUCUUUAUUUGAACUACCGAUCGAUUUCAGAAACAAGCCGACGAUGUGACAGGUGAGCUAGCUGAAGGCUCCAGAGAUAAUGCCGAGGCAUUCGCCAGAGCUCCUGCCCAGCAUGGUGAGACCUUUUGGGCCACAGAGAGCGCCACCACCCGGUCAAAAUUAUGGUUCUCUGACUUUUCAAAGAAUCAAGGGGGGAUUUAAUAACUUUAACUUUAACUUUAAUUAAGAAGAAGCCUACAUAUUAUGGACGAUGAAUUUCAGCAUUUGUAUACAGUCCUCGUUGGUGUUUGGCGGCUAUUUCUUCCGGCCGGCGGACUCCGGCACCAAAACUUGGAAUCUAAAUUUUAAAAUUUGAACCGUACCAGGAGAAUCGGAAUGCUAGUCCCGGUCCCCAUCGAUGCUUGAGACUCAAUGCCCAACCUUAAGCAACACCACGCCCCAAAACAUCCACCAUAACUGGGCGUUGCUAAUUGGACCAAUCAAAACUCCAGCGUUAUAAGUCACCUGAGGAUAUUUCCCAAACAUGACACUGCAGUUAAAGGUGAGGUGUCAUUAUCUCUGAGGUUUGGAGUGAAAACAGCCUUUUUUUUCACAGAUAAACAAGUGUUUUUCCUCCGAUUGCUUCAGGUUGUGUGGAGCUUGAUGGAUCCCAGUAAACUUUGAUGAGUUUUAUUAUAUCUGUUGCUCGGAUGGCUGGUGGAGAGAUAAAACAGCUGGAGGUAAAACUGAAGGUGUUCAUUGAUGCAGCUCGUUAUUUUUAAUUAACCCUCACAUCCAUUUGUGUUUCGCCGGCUGGGCUCGGAUUGUUUCCGCUCAUCCACCUGCAGAGAAACGGCAGCUCUGUGUUCCAGUUUCUCAUCAUUAGGAGAAGGUAUGAGAUGAUUUCCUGUUUGAACAAACUUGAUGCGUCAUUGGCGUUUAGAUCACACCUUCAAACAACAUGUUUGCACACUUUGGUGACUGUUUCUGGAUGCCUGCGUGUCUCGGCUGCACAGAGCGACUUUUAGGCGUUUUAAUCUGGCGUGUUUCUGCAGGAAUCCGAUGGGUUAAAACUGAGACGAUGGAGACACACAAACACACACACAGACAGACUCACACACAUAAACAGCGGUAAUCAGCCGCUGCUGAUGACUCGCCUGCCACUCCUCCCCCCAGGUUCCCGACAUCAUGAAAAUUAAUGUCCUGGCAUCCAUUUCUCUGGCACAGACGAGGGCUCAGAGGUGCAAUCGGAGCGCUCCUGUGUUUUGAUUCCGAUUUUAUUCCAACGUUUAUAUAUUUAUUUCUCUGUGUGUCCACAUGUGCUGAGACUGACACGCAGAGAAACAAGGGUCUGCAUGUGUGUGUGAGGAGGAGAAAGAGGGGAGGCGUAAUCGUUCAACAUGUCAGCGAGGUAAUUUCAUUUUUUCUCUGAGCCAUCAAAAGUUUGUCAUUUGGCAAUCACACCGUGUCAGACUUCCUUCACCUCCUGAGGAUUGCUCCAUUUUAACAUGCCGAACAAAUAUUGACGGGGGGACGAGGAGCAGGGCUCUGGAAUAAUAAUGGAGUGCCCAAAGGCGGAGGGACUGUGUGCUCAUGAGUGUUCCGGUGUGUUCAUUUAUAAAUCUGUUAAUUCAGACUAAAUAUAGAAAGACUCCAAAUGUCAGGAACGCUUACCUUCAUUUAAUGAGCAACUGUGGGUAAAAACGAACGCUACCUCUCCUCCGUAUUAACCUUGAAAAAUGGAUCUACAACCCUGGACAUCGUAGGAUUUCUCAGUCCCAGGAUGCAAAAUUGAAAAAUCAACAAUUUUAUGUCUGAAUCUCAAACGUAAAUCUGUUUAGAGUUUAAAAAUAUGAUAUCUAAACUUGUUUUAAGACAUUUUACAGUUCAAACCAUCCAGACUGACUCACGACUGUCGCAGCAGUUAUUCGCUAAAGACAUAAGACUGAGUCCUCGGGUUAUUUAUCGGUGUGUUUUGAGUUUAAUCUGGAUCAGACCAAUCAGAGUGUCUGCUAUCAUUCCCUUUAACAGUCAGGCUCUCCUGCAGACAGACAGACGGACGGAUGACUAUUUACACUGUGAGUUUCAGUAUUUCUGCUGGAUUAGACUCCAGGCAGCAUGUUUCACUCCCUUUUUGUGGAGAACAAACAGCUCAAUGCAAAGAUUUAUUUUUAGUGAAACAUCCAAACUGCACAACAGAAACUCUCAGAGACUCUCCAGGUGAAAUGAAAUCAGAGAAAAAAGAGCUCUGUGUCUGAUUUGACUGAUUUCUCCUGCUGCUGUUUAACUUUAUGUGCAUAAAGGAUAGUCUGCUCUUUAUUAAGACCUGUGGAGUCCUGUCUGUGUGUGUUUUUGCAUGUUUUGUAGGAAGUGUAUGCCUAACAGACAGCUUUGAGUUUUGUACUGCGUGCAUGAUGGAUAGUUUUCUCUUUAUCACUAUUUAUGGGCACAACAUCAAGAGUUAUGUUUGAGGGUUGUGAGCGUGUGUUUGUUUCUGCAUGUACCGGAGAGUGUGUGCAAGAGCAUGAAAAUAGAGUGCUACACGUCUCUGCAUGUGUGUUUCAAGAGGAGAAAUGCUUGUUUCUGUUUUGUCGAGAUAGCAGCACCACCUUAGCGUCUCGUUUUAAGACGAAUAAACAACACAAGCACUCGUAAGUUCACACGACAUAGGCACAGGGCACAAAAAUGAGUAUACUGCAUGAAGUAGAAAAUAGCAAUGACGCUCACACUGCACGCCAACCUGUUUGAUAAUAAUAUCCGUAAUUUGAGUUCCUGCUGGAAUAUAUGUCGACUAAAUCCCACUGAGCAAAAGACGGAUAUUAGACGUCUAAGUGUUUUUUAGACCUAAUUUCAACCGUGCCACGCUGCCGGUGAGGCACGAAAAUAGAGCCCUUGGUCUUAACUUGGUCUAAAUUCAGAUGUCUAAAAAACUUUCAUUUUUAGACCUGUGGUAGUCUGAUUUAAGACCAGUCGUCUAGGCUACAUUUAGACUUUUAUUAGACCUCUUUUAGACCAAAAGAAGCUCAGUGGGAUGUUCAAGUAGAAAAAUGCAUAAAAAUAGACCUCUGCAAGAAUCUGUGAGAUCCCAGACUCGUCAUUUCGCUCCAUGAUGUUCAGCAUUUUGCAAAAAUGUUGAAGUCUGAGGUUACUCUGGUGUUUUCACUAUCUGACCUUACUGACCCAUACUUACUGUCAUUUCUUUGCCUACACUUGGAUAAGUACACAAUAGUUUUGGAUAAAUAUGGACACGGUGUACAACAAGAGCUGCACACAAGGAAAAUAACACAUCAGCAGUCAUUCAGCGAACGCCUGCCUCUCUUUGACGCCAUCUUCCCGUGACAACCUGCUGCCUGCUGGGCUGGGUGUCGACAGCACUAAUCUGCUGCAGCAAAUAUAUCACUUCCACUUCCUCUGACCUCUGUUGUAUGAUACACACACAUAUGUGUAUUCUGCAUGGAAACAUUCACACCCUCACACAUGCAGUCGUACUCAGUCACUCGCACAGCUGCCGUAGCCGGAUGCUGCUAAUUGGCCAAAAGAGGCUCAAGAGUUCAGAUGCACCUCAAACAUGCUGAGAAGUUUUUAUCUUUAAUGCAAAAGGAGGAAGAGAAAAUGAAAACAAGCAAAGAAAACAUACAGGUUUAAAGCCACAGAUCACCUUAAAGGUCCCGCGGCGUCUUACAGCCGAGGGAUCCCUCUCUCAAUUUGGCUGACUCGUACAAACACAGGUAUGAGGUGAACCAUAUUGAACCGAGUAAAGUAAAGGUCAGGCGGUGUGUGGCGUGCGCGCAGAAGAAAGAAAGCCCACCUUCAACCUUCCUUCCAGCUUGUUAUGCAUCAAUUUUUAUUCUACAAACACCCCCCCUCCCCUGACAGUUGACCUUAUCUGCGGGCCCUGAAAUAUGGCCGUCACAGCGCUUGAUCGAAGGAGAAUUCAUCUUCUGAGCUGUACUGUAAUAUGUUGAGUUAAUUCACAGCUAAAUGUCAGGUGAAAUACUGGUCAGGGUUUUUUUCCUCCCCUCCGUCGGUGUUCUAAACAUAUCACUGAUUUUAAUAACGCCGCCUUGUCUCACACCAAUUGUUCGGCUGAUUUGCAGCUUGUAAAAUGUCAUUCAGCUCCUCGGCUCGUCUAUAGAGACUGUUUAUAAUCUCCGAUGUGAGCAUGCGGCACAAGGCUACGUACACAAACACCUGCUGAUACUGCAGUCGAACCCUUUCACCGCGUGUGACGACUUUAUCCGAGGAUGGUUUUCAGGCUGUUGUGCGGUUUCCUUCACAUCAAUAAAUCAUCGUCGGCUCAUCAUCAGGACUUUUCAGCUUCAUUUAUUUAUCAGUGUUGCCAGAGGGCGAAUCUGAGCGCUUCAGUAAUGUCACACAAUAUCAAGUAAAGGUUCUGCAGUGUAGGUCACAGCCGGUCUUUGGGCGUAACCUUCAUUUGAUUAAUGGCCUCAUUACUUCGAGUUCAAAUUGGGGAAAACUCGUAACUUGGAAGAGGAAGUAAGACUGUUUGCUGUGUGGUCUUUCUGUUUGAGACCUCGAAGAUUUACAGCUGUACUGAAAGACUUGAACUCUUCUUACAGAAACUGAAAGAGGUUUUGUCAGCGCUUCUGUCUACUCUUUCAUUUAAGCUUGUAAAACUGUCGGACUACGGCGCUGGGUGUUAACGUUUAACCAAAAAUCAAACUAAAUCAGGGAAACGAGAAAAUUAGAGGCAGCAGGAUGGACCCAGAGCUGUACUACAUCAAACAAGAGCUAACCUGAGCAUCCAGUCUCUUCUUAGUUCGUCGCCAUGGACGCCAUAUUGGAAACGCCGACUCAACCGAACUUUUAAUCAAACCAGAAAAAGAGACAGAAGUAGUAAACAGUCACAACAGGCCGGCCUAAAAAUCUACUCAAACCUGCUAAUGCUAAUUAUGCUAAUUAUGCUAAUUAUGCGAAUGCUUUCACAGUCCUCAGUAUAGAUAUCUUCAAAACAGAUUUCAUUUCAGCUUUUAUGUUAGUGGGCAGUACCUGAUUUCUGCAGCCAUUAACUCUGUAUGUAAGAUCUUGGGUGUUUUAUCUAUUUGUCAUAGAGUAUUAUGUAUAUAUAGUGUAUUGUUUCUAUGUUUUUAAACAUCUGCCAUAGGACAACAGAUUUAAAUUAGCAUUUAUGCUAACUCCGGCAUAUUUACAUUGAUGCGAUGCUUUUGCUGACAUGUCAAUUAUUGUGCAUUCUCCUAAUCAAAUAAAUAAAAAACAGUCCAAAGUUAUUAAGUUAACUUAAGAAAUGUUCAUUUUAGGACAGUCACCCCUUCAUAACAGCACUGUGUGUGUCUGUUUGUGUGUGCAUCCUGUUGUCUAUGUCUGCGGACGUAAAUUCAUCUUUUUCCCAGAUACCAGAGAAGACCUCUGUCUCUGUUCUGCAUCCACGUCCUCUGAGUAAUCACAGUCAUCUCUUAGUGUACUGUUGCUCCUGGACUAAGGCGUGUUUAUCUGCUUGUUGCAGGUCUCAGUUUCACUGUAAAUAGGAAGUUCUUCAAAGGCCUCACAUUGACUAUCAGCCAAUGUUAAAGAGUUACACAUCACACUGCAUUUAAGGCAGUGGUUCCCAAACUUUUUCUACCGGGCCCCCUUUGGCAGAUAAAAACACCUGACUGUACACAUCAACAUGUAAAUGAAAAAUAUGUGAAUGUACAAAAAAAACACCGUCUGUCACAAGCUACUGUUGUUUUUCCAAUUUACUUCAAUGAAACUUCAAACUUUUGGAGAUAAAACAACAGCACUACCUUUUUACCAUUUUUAAAAAUUCUGCAUUUCUGAAGAUGAACAGUUUGAAAACUUAGGGAACAUUUUUAAAAUAUAUUCUUUCAGAACUAAAAUAAGUCAGUGGCGAUGGUGCGCUUGUUUAGUGCCACAGAUCUUGGGUGCAGCUGUGAGACCGCCACUCUCAAUUCAUUUUCAGUGUCCAGGUCUUGAUGUAGUGUUGUAGUCGCCCUUGCGUUUUCCCAGAGGUCCGCUGAUGUUUACCAUGGUUAGCGGUGCGACACAACGUGCGUUACUUUUAUUUAGCCUUGUCGCGCCCCCCCCCCCCCCCCUGCAAUCAUGCCGCGCCCCGCCUUUGGGAACCACUGAUUUAAGGAGACUUUAAACGACAGGAAAGUCAAAUGAGAAGACUGCUGAACAGUUUAACUUCUUUUGCAGACUAAUCUGUUGGUUUGAGACACCUCUGCCUAAAAUGAAGGGGGUGUAUCAAGCUGCAGUAGACAGUCUGGGGUCUCGACUUUAUUCUUCAGAGACCGAAGAAAUGUUGGAAGAAGACAGCGAGGAAAUCUUAGAUGAAUCUUUCUCUCUCUAAACUGGACAGCUGAAUCUGUCAGAAACCACAGAGAACACACACAGAGAACCGCCUCCUGUAUGUUGUCGUUGGAGCCCGUUAGGUUAUUUGGCGUGAUGCAGACGCCAGAGGACAAAGAGGAAUCUUGGCGUUUGGGCAAAGUGUGUAAUUGAUGCUCGACAGACAAUACGAGAGCGAGGCGGGAAACUUGGGCGCGCGGGGAUGGUUUCCAGAUGACAAACAUUUGCUUUUAUCAUCCUCUGCUGUCAGCGAAUUUGCUGCAUCUCUGACGGUUCGGGGUUAGCGGGGUUAACAAGCUGCUCCACUUGACUUGAGAUCUAAGUCGAGACAGAUGCAUCCUGAUGUGUUGCGUUCAGGGUAGGUGACUCUGCAGAUCGUUGCGGAGCUCUCUGAAGCUUUGACGCAUGAGAUUUAUAUGUCAGAAGGAACCAAACAGAUAUAUGACCUAUCCAAGUAAACACAGAAGCUCUCCAUGUUAUAGUUCAAGUCAUUAAUUAUUCAGACAUACUCUUUGUGUGUCUUUAAUAAAACUAUAACUAAAGGUUAACUUCAGCAGGAUGCAUCAUCUCAUGCUCGCUGGCAUUUAGCCGCAUUAAAAGCUCAUUUUAUCUUCAUAAAACACAUGAUUGAAAAAUGACUUUUCCUCUCAGCCUCCAACCAGCAGACCUCCAUCACCUCCACCGCAGGGAACAAUAGACGGUAUCUCCCAUCGUCUCUUUUUCCUCAUCCAUAUUGAAUCUGCUUGGAUCAGCUUCUGGUGAGGAACCAUCAGGGUUAAUUAGCGCCGAAGUGAGAGGAGGAGGAGGAGGAGGAGGAGACGCUCUUCUUCUUCUUCUCUGUGUGAGAUAUCUUUAUUCAUGGGGGCUUAGCUUUGACUGGCAUGGCCUCAAGACAUCCCAACUUCUCUCCUCGGGAGGCCGGCCAGAUGUUAUUGAUAUUCACAAAUAGCUGGAAUUUGCAUCUUGAUGUUCCAGAAGGGAGGAGACCGAGUAGGCGGGAGGACUUGUGCUGCAUAAACAAAAUCAUGUUGUGGGUAGAGGUUUGCAUGUGUCAUCUUUAAAAUACAGACUCUGCUUUUCAUUUUUUAACUCGGUCCAUCAGUUUUAAUCGUCUAACUCUUGAUUUAGUCAGAGAAGAGCGACAUGUUUGAAAAGUUCAGACUUGGGCGCAGAAUCGACCCGUAAUUAAGACCUGUAAAAUGCUGAGACCUGAAUUUGGUGGUUUGCAAAUAAUCCAACAUUUAAUGCAAGUGGUGCAAAGACAACAUUCUGUAAAAGGUAAAGUCCAAGUCCGCAACCUGACCCUGAAUAGCGGUUGAAGAUGGAUGGAUGGAUUAAAGUCCGAGUCCAUCCUCUUCCCUCUGCUUAUCCAGGAUCUGGUUGCGGGGGCGGCGGUCUAUGUAAGUCCACCCAGACACCCUUUGACCCGACUCUUCCACUGGGAUCUGAGACAUUCCUAUGCGAGUCAGGCAGGAAAUAUAAUUUCUCUAACCCUAGAUCUCCUUCUGAUUGGACGUGCCCGGUAGACCUCGAAGGCUGAGCCCAGGUACCUUUUGCAGAAUACUUGUAUCCGCAACCUCACCUUACUUUACCUCACCGAGGCCAACUCUAGAGCCUGACCAGCAACGUUUUAGGGUUUUUUCUCCAUAAGAAACGAUGUGGAGCCACCACCCCCUGCAGGAACAUGCAUAGGGGUCAAGUGCACAGGAAGCAAAGGUCGUGGGAUCAGGUGUCCCGUUCUCCUGGUGACAAAAGUAAACAGACCAGCUGACCUGGCAGAGCUUUCUCCACCGCUCGAAGGAUGACCCAAUGUUUAUUCCAGUUAGAUUCCUUGCUUAGUCAUAUUUCCUCUUGCUUCCUCUUUUGGCGGUGGGGUAAGCAGAAGUAGGGUUUUUUUUGCGUCCUUCUCCAUCACAGCUCCUGUAGCUAAGAUGCUCCGAGGAGGGCUGGGAGAGUGGGAGGGGACGAGUCGAAACUACGAGAGAGGGGUGUGUCGAGUACAGCGAGGUGGCUGGAUAGAGAGGCAGAGCAGGAGAUUGACCAAUAGGAGCUGUUCGGGACAGAUGGCUCCCAUUGGUCAAUGUUUUUGCAGCUCUGCACCUGCUAGGGUGAACAGAUUCUUUCCGAUCUUUUUUCUCUUCACUGUGUGGAGAUCGCACUAUAGGACCAUGAUCGCCAUAGAACAAUUAUAAUGAACAAGGUUCAUUAUAAUUACCAAUCUGUCCAAUCGUCAACCAUGUCUUUAAACUUCAUUUUUAACAGUCCAGCUCUCCUUCAACAUCUCUUUCCUUCUGUUGGAUAUUUUGGGUCUGGUGGUUGGUGGUGGUGAUGAUGAUGCAGCGGUGGUCUGCAGAGCUUGUGUGGUGAAGAAUAGUCCAUUAUGCAUGUUUGCCGUCUCCACAGCCCAGCUUUCAUCGUCACAUUUGCUUUCUCUUAGCCCCGUUUGUUUUUGUUGUCUCUCUUGGCCGGGCAGAAAAUCCACAGUGUACGCAGCUGUGGACUGCGGUUGUAUGGAUGACGAAUAAUGAUCCACCAAACUGUACACAGAGGUUUUGCAGAGCAAUCGUCUUGAUGGAAACGAUGAGGAGAGGGAGAGGAACACACAGGAUGUCUAAUAAGCCAAACUCCCAGCUGAUCAGAGGCAGUCAUCCGGAUUAAUGAGCGAUGGAUUGACAAAGAGCUCCGUCUGGAUGCUGUAAUGUCAUCCCAAUCAGUGGCCUGGAAAGAAGAGCUCCAAGACAGGCAGGAGGAUAGAGAUAUUAUCUCUGAGUGUACCUGGGUUUGACUCAAGUUUAUUCCCACAGACGGCUCACCAUGAGGCCAAACCAUCAGGGACAGCACAGCCUGGUUAGCUGAUAAAGCGCUGUUAGAAACUGUCAAAACUAGAAGUGCAGAGGAUAUAUAAAGCCUAAACUGAUGGGAAAAUUAAUGACAAAGUUUAAAAUAAAGAUGAUAGAUAUUUAGAUGACAGGUUUGAUGUUCUUCAGAGUUUAAAAACGAUUCUUGCUAACUCGGUUUUUAAUUGUAAAGUCUGGAUUUGAGAUAAACUGGUUCAGUCUUCUCUGAGAUCUGCUGUAAACGUCACCCCGUCACUCCUUUCCUUCCACUUUUGUGACUUGACUAAUUCACCGACGUUAAAUCCAAGCUGAUCGAUUUCUCUAUGCUUGUGAUUGGAAGCCCUUUUCUUUUUAUUUUUAUCAUAAUUCAAAUGAAAAUAGAUUAACAGAUCUCUGUGGCCCAGGGAAUGUGCACAAUAGGUGUCCACACACCUCCAGAGCAUCCCCCCUUGAUACUGUGAAAAGUCAGAGAACCAUAAUUCUGACCGGGUGGCGGCGCUCUCUGUGGCCCAAAAGGUCUCACCGUGCUGGGCAGGAGCUCUGGAGCCUCCUGCUAACUAGAUUGUCACAUAGUUUAAACAAAGUUUUUAAGGUGAAGUAAAUUUGCACUUGCACAGUAUGGAUAGCAACAGGUGGACAUGAAAAUGAAAAAGAAAUUGCCCGUUUUCUUUCUUUUUUUAAUUGUGUCCACCUCGUCCUUUGGCGGCCACGAGGUCUCCUCCCGGUGGGACAUGUCUGGAACACCUCUAACGGGAGGCAUCCAGAAGGCGUCCUAACCAGAUGCCCGAGGAGGAGCAGCGGUUCUACUCUGAGCGCCUCCCGAGUGUCCGAGCUCCUUACCCUAUCUCUAAGGCUGAGCCCGGACACCCUGAGGAGGAAACCCAUUUCGGCCGCUUGUAUCUGCGAUCUUGUUCUUUCAGUCAUUACCCAAAGUUCAUGACCAUAGGUGAGGUAUCUGAGCUGUGAAAGGCCUGAUAGUCCCCAUAUUUACCAGUGCACACAGGAGAGGACUUUGCUGCUUGAAAAUGGACCUCCACCUUUGCAGGAAAAAUCUAAAGCCUGUCCUGAAUGAAAGCAGGAUGAGUUUAGAGAUUAGAUGUCUGUAAGUUCACUCAAAAUGGGAUAUCUGGUGUUUUUUAUCUCCUGGACAAAGAUGGCGGAUGAUCCUUUGACUUUCUCUGAUAACAGAGAUCACCUGAGAGCGUCCUCAGACCAUAACGAGGAUAAAGGGAGCGUGAAUAUGAAAAUGUGGCCUCCAGUCGACACCUUCACGCAGAGGUGCCCCCUUGACCUGCAUACCAACUCUUAAAAACACACACACAAAUACACACACACACCCCUUAGUGCAGCCCACCUCCCCGGGCUCUGAAACCCAAAGCAGCUGGUCAUCCAUCUGGGGCUCAUCAGUUGCCCUGGAGAGUAAAAGCAGGCCCCACUGUGGCAGCCCGGGCAUCCGUUCUGCAUUAUCACCACCACCACCGACCCCCCCACCCCCGUUUCCACUGCCAUGCUAGCACCCACUACCCCCCCCUCCACUGCAGACCCAAAGCCACAGCAAAGCGCCCUGUUUCGCUCCGUCCUUCAAACGAAAAGGCUCUCUGCGUAACUUUUCAUCCGAGCCGAAACUCUAAGAUGCAAAGCGUGCAAGAGCGCGAGCGUAAUGAGAGCGGCGGUUGACAUCAGGCGGGAUCCAUAGACAAAACACGGGGGGCCCGGAGUCUGUACGAGCGAUUAAUGAUAGUGAUCAUGUGUAAGUUUCCCUUUCUGGAGACGCUCAAUAAGACUGAACAUGAGAAUAUUCGAGUUUUGUUUUUGGAGAAAUGUGUUUUUGGAGCUGGUCAGAAGAUCUUACAGCAAACCAGAGACAGAGAGUUUCAGCUGGUCCACAACCAGAACCUUACUGUUAGAUGAAGAGGUUUUAUGGUUUUACUUACGGUUCCUCAAAACAGAGAGAGGAGCUUAUCCAGGUGUCUGCAAUCAGGGUGAGAUGUUUACUCGCACAAACACAAAAUAAGGACGCUUGAAAAAUAAUUUCAAGAAAUAAUCAAAACCAAGAUCCUCUCAUCCUCCUCAAAGUGUUUGGAAAGGUCCAGUAUUCCACAGUGGACUUCUUUCCUCUGUAACACUUUAAGAUCUUUUAUCUAAUUUGAUUUAAUUUAUGAGACAAACACAAAUUAACGUUCCAGCUGCAGGACCAGACAAAAAAUCGGACCCGUGGCUGCAAACCCAACAUGCACGGACUCUGUGCCCAUACAUACCUGUCUUUUAAGCGAACAUAAACAGUGCUGGAGCGCGGUGAGAGCUUUCAUUCCCGACAUGAAGCACCAAAAUAAAACCAAAACACAAGUCAGUGACCUGAGCUGGAAUUAAAUAAAGUCUAUAAUUUGUUAAGUGCCUAAAAAAGCCUGAAUUAUGAGUGAAAGUGCAUCUUUGAGCUGAUUAAACAAGAGGGCACACUGUUGGACCUUGGCAGCUGGCACCUGACGAUCAAUGAAGUGGGCUUUCAUUGAGUAAACAACUUCUAAUCAAAACACCCGAGUCUGAAACCGUGUGGAGGUUUUGGGUCCGGGGCUUGGCGGACUUCACCUCAUUGCAGGCCAGGAAUGUAUUCUCCCUUCUUAUUUUCUUGGUUCUGCAUGACUUCCUUUGAUAUACAGCCCAUCUGGAUGUCGAGGGAAAUACUCAAACACAAACCCAACUCCUACACAUGCCCGGAGUCAGAAACCACAUGUUCUGACGCUGCUGGACCUCCGCGGAAAGUAAGCUGUGCUAAUUGUUAGUGAUUGAGGGGUUAAAGACGAGAAGGGAGCUGGACACUUCUCAAAGCUCUUACUUUAAUUCCAGAACCAUAAAAAGCUUGAAAAAUGUUUUCAAAGAUGGAGACUCGAAGGAAAAAGCUCUAUGAGGAAGUUUAAUUUUCAGGGCCAUAAAUCACGCGGACUCUGGAGGAUAUAAAUAAUACUCGAUAUGUGCCUCUUUCAUAAAUUGUGGUUGUGGUCGUGUGGGGCUUAUUGGACCUGAUGGUGUUUACGGCCUCGGAUCGCUCCGGUUGUGUUGGCGCUGAGAAGAAAAAGAAACACCAAUUCAGGUGACCUCAGAUGUUCCUCAAACUGCAAAUCCAGAAAACGAAACUCUGGUGAAUCUUCUUAAAACCACUUAAAGGUGGUGUAGUCAGGAUCUGAGUUAGUUCCAGUUUUUAGGAGAAAUCUUAAAAAGUAAACUCUACCCCUCCAAACCAGUUUUCCCCUCAGCUCCUCCUCUCCCCUCAAGCCCCGCCCACAAACAGAUGCUCCUGCUCGCUCGUAUCGUUCCAGUUAAAUUCAGAUAUAAUGCAGAUAAAUACUUCAGAUCAUUACAAAUGGAGCCCAGUCAAGGUGAAAGUCAAAAGCAUUGGUGCUACUGUAGAUGCCAACAGACUACCAGCAAACACAAUGUUUGCAGGACUUCUACAACUAGGAUAAAGUCACAUAGUCCAGGACCCGAGGGAGGACAGUUUAGCGAUGGCGCUACAACACGCUACAGCAGGUCCGUUUGACAAGAAACACUUCUGUUACAGACACUUGUCUUACUUUGUUAAAGCGGUUUACCUGUCCAGCAGAAAGGUUACAGGGUCACCAAGAUCCCCAAGCGUCCCCCAUCGUUUAUGUUGACCCGGCUUUUUAGCUCUUGUCCGGUCUACCUCCGUUUUAAGCACCCGUUAUUCCUCCAGAGUCUCCGGUAUUUAUUGUAUUUUUCAAACUAUGAGGCGCACUUAAAAUCCUUAAAUUUUCUCAAAAAUCAGCAGCGCUCCUCGUAUAAUUACUUGUUGUGCUUACUGACCAGUUUCAUGUGGUACAAUGCGUUAAAAAAUCUGUCGAAAUGUGUAAGUACGAUUUAGGUAAGCGAUAAAGCUGCUCCGCUCUAUGGAUAUUCGGAGCAUUACGAUGACUGUUGUCUGAGCUGGAAUCAUCUCUGAACAGCCAAGUACCGCUAACACAAACAAGACUGACAUGGAUAAUGACGAGAGGGACCCGGGCGUGCUUGAUGCUAAAAUCGUACAGCUGUUUAACUCCGACACUCAAGAUGAAGAAUUUUAUUCGAUGGAUUUGUGGAAGAGGAAUGAAUCAAUAAGUGAGCGUUUUUUUCUGUACUGGAAUUUGUUGUUACAACUAAGUUAUAUAAAGUUUGAUUUAACGAAGUGUGGUGUUUUGCUUAAUGCGCCUUACAAUCAGGUGUGCCUUAUGGCCCGAAAAAUACGGUACUUUGUUUUGUUGCUUGUGUUUUCAGAACUUUCUGGUUGGUUUCUACUGUCCGAUGUUGUAGCACGCAAACUUGAUUUGAGGCAGCAUCUGCCUCACAACCAAUCAGGUCGGGGAGACGGAGAACGGCUUUGUUUACAGUCAGAGAGAGUAGGUGGCUCAAAAAAAUGUUCAAAUGUUGACGACACAGACAUAACAAAACAGAGAUAUCGUUAUAUUACCAAAUGUCAUCAAUAACUAAUAAUUAUUGACUGAUAUUAAAAGUUUUUUGGGGUUUUAAGCCAGAAGUGACCGGUCUGGUGGAGUCAGGUAGACCCCCAGACUCUUGAGUCUCUGAGUCUCAGUGUGUCACAGAAACUCAGAGUGGGUUUGUGGAGCCUGCUCCUGACCUGCAGCCGUCACCUCUCAGCUCUAAUGUCUGUAAAUGUGUCUGCUAGCCAUUAGAGGGGACUUGGCCUGGAGCAUCAGAGGUAUUAGGUAAUAGACGGGGAAUUUAUUUAGCACUUUUCCAAAAAGAGAUUCGUCCCAGGGUGAGUGACACAACGGCUUAUUGGCCUGGAGAAACUAUUGUGUUGCUGGAAGGUCAUUAGUUUAAAUCCCACAUCAGCCAUCUGUGAUAUCCAUCUCUGCACAGGAACAGAGCUGCAGCGGCUCGGAUACUCCGCUUUCUUCUGGGUAUUUACAGGAAAUUCAGAGAUCUUAAACCCAGGACCUCUUUUACUUUGCAUGCUCGGGGGUUUUAUUGUCGAACGGUUCAGAGAAGUCAUGGAGUUAGUCGUCUACUCUUACCCCUUACCCUUUAUUUUUUGUAUCGCACAGCUUUGGCAUUUUAAAAGGUGACAGAAGAAAACCCACAGAUUGUCUAACCAGUUCAUGCGGCAGUAGAUCAGGAACCCUUGUUGGUCUGAAGGGUAAAAGUCGUGUUUUGCUACAGAGAUACUCGCUCCCAUCUGUUGCUUCGAGCCGCUCCACUCUGAUAUUGGAGUGAACUCAGCCGGCUCGUCCUGCUCCUCUCCUUCAUUUCGCCUCUGAUGUAAAUUGUGUUUCUUGUUAUACUUCAGCAACACAAAUAAACUCGCCCGCUCCCGGCCUGAUUCAUCUCUCACACACGAGUGCUUGUUUUGUGGUUUUUCCAGGUUCGGCCAUGCACAAUUUAGACCCCGCACCAGUGAGAAAAAAGCAGAGCAAUAACAAAAACCUUCUCCUCUCCUUUAGUUUGCCUGACCUUUUCUCUUUUUCUUCGUUAUUUGGAGGGACUGCAGAUGCUUACAAAGCUGCUGCGUGUCUGAGUGAUUUUAAAACAGAAGACACACAAUAUUUACGCACAACCAGAGACGACAUGAGAGCUGGGUUUGCUCUGAGGAAGAGUGUUGGAUAAAUUAGAGUUUAAAAAAAGAUGCCCGUCUGUUUUCCUGUCAGGGCGACGAUGGCACCCCGUGAAGAAACUCGCUAAUGAAAUUUGCAGCUUCAGAAAACAAUUUUCACUUCUGAAAACGACUUGGACUGACAGCGUUUGAGGUCUCCAGAAACUGUUUUUCCCACAUUUUGAUGAAGAAAAAUUGGUUUAAUGUAAUUUACACUUGGCUCGUGUGCGUGUGUGUGUGUGUGUGUGUGUGUGUGUGUGUGUGUGUGUGUGUGUGUGUGUGUGUGUGUGUGUGUAUGUGUGUGUGUUUUUGACAAGUGAGUGAUAAUUCGGAGCUUCUUGUUACUCAAAAACAUGAAGAAGAAAGAAGUCAGGCAGCACAAGCGUUAUUGGGGUUUUUAUAUUUGUUUUUUAUGUUAUUUUGACUUUAUUUUGACUCUGAAACCUACUUGCCAUGGUAAACUACUUUUAUACAGCUCAGUUUCUCUUUUACUCUUUCUAAACUUUGAUUUGAUCACCCUGUAGUGAAAGACUGAUUUCAAAUCUCUCAUUUUGAUGUAAAAUUUAUUAUAAAAAAGUCGUUUUUAAUUCAGUUUAAAACCUUUUUGGACUCAAACACAAAAUCAGAAAUGCUGGAAAACAUCAAACCCACGCCACGGUUACCUCCUGACCUGAGAGCUGUUUUCGAUCAACACUUUAUUUUAAAUAGAUUAAGAAUAAGAAUGACUUUAUUUAUCCCUGAAGGGAAAUUCACUCGUCUGUGGUCUCAUUUGUCAUGUCUAAAACGUCAUCUACUAUUUAUAAAUAUUAAGUAUAUUGAGUCAGCAUGUUGGCCUGUCUGGACUUCUUUUAAACUGGUUUCUCUCAACGUUGUGAGGUGACCUGUGGGGUACCUCAGGGAUCAAUUUUAGGACCUUUACUUUUUCAUUUUAUGGCCGGUUUUAUCAGGAGACUCUACGGUUACACUGACGACACUCAGAUUUAUGUUUCUUUUUGAUUUUAAAGCUCGUUUACUCGUAUAUGAGGCACCGCAUGGCCUUGCUCCAGACUACGUCUCAGAGAGGUCUUUAGUUAAUGAACCAGGACGUCCUCUCAGAUCUUACAGCUAAUGUCUUUAAACUUCUCCACAGCGCAGAACUGUUAUCAAGACUUUUCCGUUUUAAUUACUUUUAACUAAAAAUAUUUUGUUAUUUUUGGAUCUCUAUCUGACUUUUUACUCUUUCUUCUCAUGCUUUAAUUGCAUGUAUUUUAUUGCUACCGGCAUGUUGUCCCCACUACUGAAUCUAUUUCUUUUUUUGUCAGUUUGUGUUUCAUUUUUCAUUUUUAUUUUCAUCCUAUUUUCAUGGUUUUUGAAUCACGGUCAAGUUCCUUAAACUGCUUUUAAUUUGUAUGAAAGGUGCGACAUAAAUAAACCUUUGAUUGCUAUAAAGAGCAGCUUUACUCGUGAAUGUUUCAGAGAAAAAUCACAGACACUCUUUGAUCAAGCAUUUUGAUUGAAAGACAAAAACUAAGGACGGUAAUUUGAUCAUAAUCAGUCAGUUUUUUAAAGCAUUUUACUUAUUUAUCUUUAUUUUUUGGCCAAGCCUUUUUUAAAUCUUGUUUUUCAUGAUCAAAAAAUGUUUUCUUGGACAAUAACCUUGGUCAGUCCCGGGCGGAUGUCAUUCUUACAGGGAGAGACCACCAACACGAUACGAAGGUCAGGGAAAGACAUCCUACUCACAUGAGGUGGUGAAUUGUUUAUGUGGGACAUUAAAAAUGACUUUAGAGAAAAGGCUGGGCCUCUGCAUGAAGACUUCAUCAUCCAUCAUGUUCUGAGCGAUGAUCUUCAGAGGAGAAACCGUCCCAGAAUAAAUAGAUUCAAAGAAGAGAGGAGUUUGGCAGGAGACGGAUGUGGUUAGGAAAGCACAAAACUCCUCUCUCCUCGUUCUCUAUAUCUCUAUCUCUCUUCUCUUCCUCCCUCUCUCUUUCUCUCCGUUCACCCUCCUCGCUUCAGACGUUGAUUUAUGACUGCACGCAGUGUGCUUCCUCCUCUGAAAUUGGCUGGAUAUGUAUGUCAAACAGCACAAUUAGACGAGCGUGACCUUAACUGUCUGUGACCUGAACGUCCUAAAUGCAGCGUGCAGUUGUGUUCUGUUUGACCUGUUUGGAAAUUAAAUUCAGGGUGGCUGAGUCAAACAGCAUUACUCCAUUGUGCUGCCUGUAUAUGCAGAAAGGCCACAGGGUACCUCUGAGGUGACGGCGCGGGUUUUUAUAAAGGAGCGAAUUAUAAGAGUUUAAUGCGUCUCAAAAGGGGAAUUAUGCAAAGUUUGUUUGGAUCAGAGUCGGUUUGUUGAAAGCUUUUGCAUGCAGUUAAACAGUCGUAUUCAUGUUUAAAUGCACAAAAGUAAAAACAACAUUUUAAGUUCAUGGAAACAUGGACCAGCUAAAGAGUCCCAUACUGAAGGUGAACCAAACAUGAGUCUGGUUCUGCUCAGGGUUUCUGCCUUUGAGAUAUUUCACGAAAGUUCUGGAAUCCUCUAACUCGUCAGUAAACAGAGCUGACAUGGUUAAUGCGUUCUGGUUUUACCCGGAGCAGCCUCGACCGCGGUGACCCGGCUGGUGUCAUGUUUACGCCCUCGUCACUCCUCGCUGCCUCUUUAUAGGACUCUGAGACUCUCCAGACUUUAUCGCCGCUCUUUAAUUCCACAUCAGAGUUAACGGCUCCUUCCUUAAUCUUCCUAGAGGACAGUCGGCCAUCUUGUUUGUGCUUGACUUUGGAGAUGUCCUUUAUACCUGUCUCUACCUGUCUCUACCUGCACUUCAUCACCGAGAUAAAUAUUAUACAGCUGUGUCUGUUUUUUCUGUCUGUCCUUUAAACUGAAGUAUAUCUCUGAAUUCAUUUAUCAAUCAAAUAAAGAAAAAACGUGUUUAUUUCUGCUGUAAAGAUGGACAUUUUCAAGGUGCCUGCAGUUUUCAGCUUGAUUUGGUUUCUUAAGUCUGUUUUUUUUGUUUGUUUGUUUGAUGUUUGCAUCUGCUGUGUCGAUCAAGCUAGUUCUAGUACUAGCCUAGCUUAGCAUCAGCUCCCUCUCCAGUUUGUGUUGGUGCUAAAUGAGGCUACAGCCAGCCUCUAGUGGACACUUGAGGAACUGCAGUUUUCAGCUUUAUUCGACUUUUUAAGUCCGUUUUUUUGUUUGUUUGUUUGUUUGAUGUUUUCAUCUACUGUGUCGAUCAAGCUAGUUCUUACACUAGCCUAGUUUUUGUGAAAUUAAAUAAGUGGUUUAUGUUGUAAUGUCCAAUGUCUAACUGUGAACACGCUGCUAUGGUGUUUGUAGAGUAAAAUACUGUGUUAUGUGUUGUUUACAACUGCAGCUGACAACCGCUAACGACAACUAACAAGUGUUAACAACGGCUGACUGUAGGCGUCCAUCCAACUUGUUUACUGGAACGCCGUCAACUCGGGUGUAUAUAGUAUUUAUUACCCAGCAUGCAAAAGUUCAUGAAACUGACAUAUCUACAAUAAAAGUUUAACAGAAGAGAACUUACGCCCCCCUCGUCGUAAAGCUGCAGAACUUAAUGUUCUUUAACUAGAUGUCACUCGUCUCCCGUAUGCAGCUUCAUUACAGUGACAUGAGUUCACACGGAGGUGAGUGGUGGGCGGGCUGAGGAGCGCGGGGACCUCACUGAGCGCUCCGUGUCUCCUCACGCUGCAUGUCACCGUGAGUGGAGGAGCGGCGGCAGAGCGGAUUAGAGGAUGGAGGAAAAGAGAAAACAAAGAAAAUAGCUUUUUAUGCUAAUACGGAGAGAUAGAGGAUAGACCCUGAUGAUGGUGUUUGUUUGACCCUGAUGGAGAAAAACAGAGCGGCGGCUUAAAUGAGCACGCUCACGGAAACAUGUGACACUCUGAUAAUAGACCUUAUUACAUACAGAAGGACUUUUUUAUCCUCCUGUAUUUUUCUUUUCUAAAAAUCUGUCCAGAAUUCACAAUGAUUCGGAUUCGGAAACAAAAUCAUUUGCAUCUACUUUAAUGAAGACAUGCAGACAGAUUUAAUCAGCGUAGAUAAGCUCCUCCUCCUCCUCACUCUUGGUCAUUUUCCACUCCUUCACUCCGCAGAGCUUUUUUUGGGAUUUAUUCUUCUCCUCUUCGGUUUGGGAGUCCACAUCCAAAACCGUUCCAUUUGGAGGGCUAGAUGAACACAAUCUCUCAAUCCCUGGAAGGACUGGGACACUUGAGCAUCAGAGGGAGCGUGAAAAACCGAGGAGCACGGCCAAGUGGGGAACUGGGAUGCAGCCUAAGAUUGUGGACUUAAUAGUUGGGAAGCUGAGUGGUUUCCAUUGGCACCGGGUCCUGGCAGGACUCGGGGCUCUUUCAGGGCUUCAUACGUUGCUUAAUGAUCGAACACAUGCACACAUUACCGAGUCAAAGAGCUCCACUGGCAGGUUUUUGUGAUUAAACGGAGGAAAUAUUUCUAAAUUUAGAUCUUUUUUUUGAAGAAAGGCUCUCCGUCUUAGAUCCAGAAUCCAGGAUCUGCUGCUUUCCGGCCCAUUUCCAGACUGUGAGCGCACACAGAACUCCUCAGACGGUAUUUCAUGAAGGAUUAGGACCUGUGCAGCCCCAGGUGAUGUCAAACAGAAACACAUAUACCUGUGGAAACUUUGCGUGUGUUUUUGUAAGUUUAAAUAGGAAACAAGUCAGCAGAAGAUGGACAUUAGAUAAUUUUUAUAGGAAUUAAGUCUCAUUUUUCACUUUUAAAUCAGUGUUGGAAACAUUACAGAUGAAGGCAAAGUGCUGGCAGAGUGAAAGAUGUAACAUGAACACCAUAUGCUGCAACAUAUGGGGAAUGAAAAUGCAAAACUUCUCAUUAUAAAGAAGUGUGCGGGUCCGAAACGAGCAGUGUUGGGUUUAAAAUGAGCAGCCGAGAGCACCACAAACACUCUUCAUGGAGGAAAAAUAAAAAUAUAUAUUUUAACAUAAACUGAGUUUUAACCAGAGGAACAAACAGAUGAUUGUUUCAAAUAUUUAUAUAAUUCUGAUUAAAAUUAAAGACCAGGGUUUGAAAUGUCUGAUGCAAAGCUAAAGUGCAUGUUUCAUAUUUAUGUUAUCCAAAAUAAAACAAACAUUUAAUAACAAUAAUAAUCCUAAUAUCAUAAUAAUACAUUUUAUUUGUAGGCGCCUUUCGGGGCACUCAAGGACACCUUACAGGACAAUUAAAAGACACAUCAGCAGGACAGUAAAAUCAAUUAAGUGUUUGGCGCUGCCGCUGCUUCCUGCUUGCUCCUGUCAGCGGUCGUCGUCCUUUUUUGGCGAACAAAAAAACCUCUUAUAUUCAUUUUUAAUAGAAUGCCAAUGCCUACCGCCGAGUCCGCCUUCCGCCGUGUUCAGUCCGUCUAUGAAUAUUUGACCUUUGACUCUGUAAGCGGCCCGCCCCCCUUUACCUGUAAUUCGUUAAGAUGUUGCCAUCAAUCGAGUUGGUUGGUUGGAUUGAUUGACGUGUCAAGAUAGAUGGGAUUGACUUAAGAUGACUGCUCUGACGGAAAAAAACAAACCCCAAAUCAAAUUAAGAGAAAAUGUUGCUUUUAGUCCAGGGUGGGCACAUCUGACUUGUUAGGCGGGCACAGCCCCCAUUUCCCGUCCAUGCCGCCGGGCCUGGUUCAGAGAGGUAUGGAGGAGUGAGGUUGUGGACGGCCUUGAAUGUGUGGAGCAGAAUUUUAUAGUCCAAGUGGUAUUUUAUGAGAGAACAGGCGUGAUGUGACUGAUAGAUGGUGUUCUGGUGAUGAUGCAGGCGGCGGCGUUCUGGACCAGUUGUCUCUAAUCCACACCGAAACAAGCGCCUCAAUUCUUAUGGCUGUGUGUGUGUGUGUGUGUGUGUUUGUGUGUGUGUGUUUUCCCCCUUUUGUCUCUCCAGAGCUGCCCAGGUGAAAUCACUUAGUGACAAUCAGACUCACCUGGUGCUGAGACCUUAAAGAGCUGCAGUCUGCAGAGGCGUUUGGUGGAGAACUGCUACUGCCUCUCAGUGUUCAGUUAAUCUGUUCUUUUUUUAAUCACAAUAAAUCACUUAUUAAACUUUUGAAGAUAUUUUGUGACUUUAAUGGGUCAAAUGUGAGGAUAGUUGUUGUGGCGCCUUCAGGUGGGGCGUAAUCUUCAGUCACUCCAGGUCAGCUGGUUUUAACUGAGCGGUCCCACUCUGACAUGUCGCCAUCAUAUUCAAACAAACACACUUCCUGUGUUUUCCCUCUGCUGCUGUGUUUUUAUUUUAAUCCCUCGGCGCCGUACGGACGGCUGCCUCUGAUAUUGAUAACGGCGUCCUCACUGUGACUGAUUGGAGCUCCACCAGCAGUCAAAUGAACUGCAGCCUCUGUUAUAACACACGGAGACAGAUAAAACGGCGCGGUGACGGCGUCGCAUUAGGACAGUCCUCUGCCAUUAACGCCGUCACAGCGUGAGCAUCUGGAGGAGGGGCGCAGGUUGCCACCGCCGCCGCGGCUGCGCUGGUCGGCAUGCGGAGGCCGGUGGGAUCACCCACAUCUCUCCCAGUCAGCGCGGAUCAGUCUCCACGAGCUGAUCAAAGGCGUUUGACUCCCGCCACACAGGGCGCUGAUUGCUUCCAUGCACUCGCUGACACCACUUGGUGUCUUGGCGGAGGACACCACCCUAAUUAAAACGGAGGGAAACAAAACUGCUCUCCCAUUUUCUUUGUUCACAUCUUUCUCUAUAUUCGCUCUCUGAACUCUGAUCGACCAGAAACAGAGAAAUAAAUGUUAAAAUAAAGGUUUCAUGUUUAUAGGAAUCGUGAAAAUCAAGUCACAUCAUCAUGUCGAUUCGCCAUAACCACAGUGUUAAGUGUUAGAAAAAUACAAAUCAGAAUCUCCUAACAACUAUUCCAAAAAUAGACCAUUUUGAGGACUAAAUCCUGUAUCUGUUGAGUCUGUUUUUAAAACCAUCAUAUCUGGAGUAACUUUCAGUCGUUUGACUCGUUGACAGGCUGCUUCAUCCUCAUGUAUUUAGGACAUUUUCAGGACCGCCUCACGCACAUUUCCAGCCUCACACCUUCAGACGUGUCUCUCUCUGACACCGUGUUUGUCAGCUGCUUAGACUCACUCGGUGUUUUGUUAACGUGUCCUACUUUCGUGUAACUUUGUUCACCCUGUCGCUCUGUCCUUCCUCCCCUGGCGGUGGUGAGUGACGGCUGGCCUCGGUCACGACAGGUGGACUAUUUACCGCUUAAAGUUGCCGUAAUGUGAAUAUUUAACGAUAUCUGGAGGUCGUGAUCUCGGCUGAAACGCCCCCUUGCUCACCCCUGCUGUAAGAGUGACGAUGGCCUUUAAGGACAAGAAGCUCAGAUCCUCCAUUUGUCAUGUUUUCAAGUAGAUGUCACCUAUUUGGGUCAUGAAUACACAAACAGUUCUUAAAACUCUGUCAGUGUUUAAAACAGCAGAGUGGAGAGUUUGUUCUUUUUUAGCAUAUUUUGUCAUCAACUCCUGGCUUUGUUUACUUGGACGAUCUUUGGCGAAAAUGAUCUUGUGUAUAAGCAGAGAGAUUUGGUUUGAAUUUUGACCAUGACAGUAAAAAAUCGAGGAUGCUGCAAAAGGCUCUGGAUUCUCAGAGUAGAAACUAGGAUGACGUCCUCCACCACAUCCAGAACGGCUACGAAAAGGCCGUAUCCGCCAAUCGUAGCUGAUCGUAACCAUUCAAGUUAACGUGUCAAUUUCCACUGGCAGAUCACAAGAGUGCUAUUUAUUCUGGACGCUGGAAAGGAAGUCGGGCACAGACACAAAAUAAAACAUCCGGCUUCUUUUCAAAAUAAAACACUCCGUGUUUCAGGAGGAUCGUAUUUCACACCAUGCAAACGGGCGGAGACGAACAAGUGAAAGGUUUUUAGACGUCAUUUCACCCCGAUGACACCAUGGAUGAGGAGAUGCUGAUUCUAGAAGUCUAGAAGUAGAUUUCCUCCUCUGGUAGGACACAAUCUACUGCUUAUAUGUCUAUGUGUCUGUCUUUAUAGAGACAACUCAUUAUUGAGCAAUUGAACGUAAUUCUGCAGGUUCCUUUGAGUUCUCGUGUUUACUGCUUGGUGGACAGCAAAAAUCGCAGCUGUUCUGGAUGCGGUAGAAACACCGGGUUAGAAGCGUAUAAAAAACACUCGACCCGACCUCAAAACCUCUCAAAAAUUACGUGCGACUCUGUGACUCCACCCCUGAGUAGUAGCGUCCACUUUUCGGGGAUUCAGAAUAUGGUCACCUGAGCAGAAAUGUUCUGCAGUUUGAGAAACUGGCGAUUUUAGCGCUCCUGCAUCAGCUUCAUUUCUUCUUUUUUAAUUAUUCAGAUCGAUUUAAAUGAGAGUUUGCAUCAACUUCCUAUUCUUACCUGUGUAACACGACCUCUUAAACCGUCUAAACUUCCUUUUGUUUUGGACCGAUCACGUACUUAGCCACCUCGCCAUCUCUGCAGCUCCCACGCUGUUAUUCUCGGAGGAACUUGAGGAGGAUGGUUGUAGCUACAAAUGUUCCCUCCCCGGCAGAGCCAUGAGCGUGAUGUUAAUGGCGGCUCAGUCCAUUUUGGCAGCAGGCGCCUGGAUAAUGUAGAAGUGGAUCCACAUCAGUGAGCCGCGCUGAUGGUCUGAGCGAGGCAGUGCAGCUACACUUCUUUUCCCCCCCGAGAGCUGAAGUUUAUCAAAUUUCUAUUUAAAAUUCCAAUAAGCACUAAAACGAGGGGGCGGGGAGGGAUCCCGGGACUUGGCUCCUGCGUGGGCCCGCUCAGGUAACCAGACUCUUUGUUGGUCGCUAAGCAGGAGGGAUCGAUAUCAUAUCAGGGCCCGGCGGAACACCUGACAGUUCAAUUUCACAGCGAGCCCCGAAAUCAAUACCUUUGGAAUAGUUUUGGACUUUCCCAAAGGCUGCCCACCGGAGUUAAUCUAUGGUGUCAUUAGCCCGGGUCACGGCGCCCACGGUCAUUACUCUGUGUAACAAUAAAUGUUCAUAAAAGACGACACGCUCCGUCCUCUUGUGCUUGACUGCAGUCUCUAAUUGAAGUAAAUUCAUUCACGAGGGAGAGCGGGGGCUGAUCGACUGCUCGGGCCGCUCCUCUUUUGUAAUCCACGUCCAAGAAAGUACGGGAGGAGACGGCGGCGUGUCAGGCCUAUCCAGAGGGUACAAAGCAGAGGAAAUUGAACAAGGUUUUAUCAAGCAGAAAAUGUGUUAAAGUGUUUAGUUUGUGCCGUAGGGAAGGAUUGUUUACCCUUGAAACAAAGUGGUGUUUAUUUUUUUUCAGGACCUUCACACACACACGGCACUUAAGGACGGAGGUUUAGAGUCACAAAGGGAGGAAGAGCCAUAAACAUCCAUCUUGUUCUUCACUUAUUUGCUCAUUUUUCCAGAGCCAACAGUAUUACACGACACUGACCAUCAAUAACGGAGGUAGAUUACAGCAAUAAUCACUAAAACACAAUAAGUCAAGACAGGGGAAAUAAUUAAAGCCGUUUUGAUUUUAGCGGCUCAACAAAAUCUCUUAUACACGAGUUAAACUCGCCACAUAAAUCAGCGCCAGCGCCUCUUUAAUGUCUAAAGAAAGAGAACAGGGUUCGGAUAGAAAAGCCUUCGUCCUGUUUGCUGAAGCCCAGCUGGAACAGCCUGUCAAAAUAAACCACGGAAACCCGCUGGAAAAAUGACACAAGCAGCCCCGGGCUCAGAGUGGCACGGUGGUUUUGGCCCGAACCCACUCCGAACUGGAAUCUAUUUUCCCUCUGUGGAUGUGACGGGUGGGCAAAGGACCGGGGGGCGGGACAGGAAAUGACCGAGGAGGAGAGUAAUGGCGGAUAGUUUCUGGAUCUGCUGAGAGAUUGCCAAGGUCAGGAGUGAAGGCUAAAGGGCGAUUCUGGAGUUUUUUAAAACUAGGACGUUUCUGUGAACAUGACCAUCUCUAACAUACAACAUCCUGUGUCUCUAAAAUGCUUUCUCCUUUGUCAUUGGGUGAACUGGAAGUACAUGCAGACCCGCCAUGUGGCGUUCCUCUUAUCCCAUGAUCCUUAUUGAGGCUUAAACAAAAGAUUACAUUUUAUUUGACUAGGACAUGAGGAGAGGAUGCAAGGGAAGGAUGCAAGGAAAGGAAACUGAGCCGUAGCUAAUCUUUACCAUGUACUACAUGUCUUACUGGAGGAGGGCGAACCAGUCAGCUCAGGAUAAUGACUGGGCUUUCUUUCUUUCUUUCUGUCUGUCUUUUUUCUUCUGUCUGUCUUUCUUUCUUGCUUAUCAAUUUCUGUCUUUUCUUUAUUUCGGUCUUUCUUUCUUUUUUCAGUUUUUCUUUCUUUAUUUCCGUCUUUCCUUCUUUCUUUCUGUGUCUUUCUUUUUAUUUAUUUAUUUAUUUCUGUCUUUCUUUCUCUUCUUUUCUUUCUCUUUCUUCUUUCUUUCCAUUUUCUUCCUUUCUUUAUUUAUUUAUCUCAAACUGUAAGAACAACAGCAAAAAAAAUAAACUAGAAACAAAAGCAAAAAAAAUAAACUAGAAACAAAAACACUGAACAAAAUAUCACAUAUGUUCACCAAACAUCUGUGCAUGUCAAAGAUAAAUUUGCACAACACACGUUUGUCAAAAAUAAACAGUUUGAGAAGAAACAGAAUGAAGCACAGAACAGUAUCCCUAACAUACAAAACAAUAUCUUUGCAUCACAUAAUAACUUUACAAAGUUCAUCCUCAGGGAGUCGUUGUCAAAAAAAGGUCUGUUUUCUGCAGGAAUCCCGUCUGUAACUCUGUCAGUCUUUAAAAACAUUAAUCUGAGGUCACAGGUCAUGAAAAAGACGACUUUUAGUUGAUGUUUGUUGCCCCUCACCUUUGUAGCUGUUAAAGAAAAGUACGUUUUAAGACUUUUAGACCCAAUUUAUGUAGAAAAGUGAAGCCCUGCUUGGAUCUCCUUAUCUGAGCCUCUUCAUUAGUGAAAACUUGACAUUUACCUUUUAACUAAGAUCACCCCCUCAUGACUGAACCACAGUAAACACACAGAUAUGAGCUCAGUGAGUGAGGCCAUGACUAAACCUGAAGGAUCGUCUCUGCAAGCUCUGAGCUGUGGUCACUAACAGGACUCUCUGUGCAGCAGGCAGAACCGAUUUGGAAAUCAUGGUUUUUCAGAGAUAUCUGAAACCGGCUAUUUUCAGGGAAAAAUGUGGAGCUUCGACUGACAAGAGGCAUCAUUUCUGGGACUCUGGCCCCCAUGCAGAUAUUCACACUCUUCCUUUCCAUGCCUCAGCUUAUAUCCCCGCUGUAUAAUUUACAGUAUGGCUGGAAGCAGAGGUCCAACAUCGUCAAUUUUCCUCCUGACACUCAGACUUAAGUGUUCAUUUAGAGGCUGCAGGGAGAAUGAAACUAUUCCAGGAGUUUAAGAGGUUAGAGUUUGUGGGGAUUGAAGCAGGAAAACAACUUUGAGCUUUUUCAUUUUUUUAUUAUUAACAUGUUAAAUAGGAAGAUUGUCUCAGAUCAGCUGUCAAGACGUGUAGACACCUCUUAAAUUUGCGGUAAUAACUGAUGUGAUUUAAUCCGGAUCUGUUCAAACCUCAGAAAGACUGUAAAGGGAGAGUUUGGUCGGAGUUAGCAAGUGGAUAACCCACAGGAGAUCCUGGUCAGCUUGGCCGGUUUGGUGAAAAACCAUCUGGAGAAUAGGAUCAGAAGUUAGACCAUCAUUCACUGCAGAUGGAGUCAUUCUUGGUGUUAGUCCUCGCUCUGUUCGGACAUUUUUCAGCGUCGCUUUGCUGCCAGAAGCUCGUUUGUUUUGCACAGUUUGCAGAUGCAUGUUCUUCGGCUUGCAGCUCAGGAGAGAUCCCGGGUUACCUGGUGGUGCAGGUGUGUAAACUGUGAACCCAGAGAGUGGGACUUUAUAACAACAACACUUCAGGACCUUUCAGAGACCAGCAGGAGCAGCUGCGCUCUGAAUCCUACAUACCGAAGUUUGCAUCAAGACAGAGAAAACUUUUAAUUUAUAUCCGCAGAUGAUCCAGAAGACUCGACUACCUAUAAGACUCUCAGCAGCAGCAGGGCCCCACCGCAGAGCUUCACAGGAGGGCCGCUGUGUAAUGACCGUCGGUGCAGAAACAUGAGUCAGGAGGAAGGGAUGAACGCUGAACAAAUAAACCUCCAGGACUGAACCUUGGAAAUAAAAGGCAGCUGGGGACAGUAAAAUACAGAAGGAAGGCCGAACCUGAGGCUGCUGCUGCUGCUGCUGCUGCGUUUUUUCACGCUCCUAAAAUUAACAGUGUUUAGUCUGCAGGAGGAACACAUUUUAGAGACACUGGAGGCUCUCACAGUCAGUUUACACCCUCAGAAAUUAAAACACACGAUGAAAUGUUCAGUCUAGUCCUUAAAGAUUUAAAAAUAUAAAUUUAAGAAACAGCAGUAAUUUUUUUCAAUGUUUCUGGAGGUCCAAAAAUGAUCUCAAGGUCGAAAACAAGAUAAAACGUGCUAACAUCGGCAAAGUCUGAGAUUUAAUGUGCCGAAUAAUUAAACCUGCAGACUCUGUUGUAUCCAGAAUUUUGAGUUUUUAGACAUAAAAACAGAAAAACUCAGAAAGUGAUAAAUGAACACAGAGUUAAACUGUAAGUUUCAGUCUUCAGAGCUGACGUUAACACAGACGUGUAUUUCUGCAGUUAAAGUCAAACUCUUCACUUCUUUAUUAAAAGGGUUCAUGACUGUGUGUAAAAUAUAAAACAGAAUUAUUAGACGAGAUAAAAAUGGCAGAAAAUUAUGUUUUUAUUUUGUAUUAAUGUAGAAAUUUCACCAGACUCUGAAUUCUCUUCUUGUUUUUCUUCUCACACUAAUUGGACUGACAAUCUUUUCCUAUUCACUCGUGUUUUUGGUAAAUUAGUCUUUUCUUCUUCUUCCUGCUCCUUUUCAGAAAUGAAAUUAUUAAUUUGUUUUCUUCUAAUUCUUUUUUAAAAUAAUACUUCAGCCAUGACCAGAAUAAAUGCAGUUUAAUCAGAUUUGGAUCUGUUGAUGAGGAAAAUUAAAAAAAAAAUCAAUUUUAUACCAAAAUACCUGAUUUCUUUAUAACUCUAGUUUCCACUUUAACAAAGGACAACGUUCGAUAAGUUUGAAGGAGAUAGAGGAAGUGUCGGAUUAAAAAAGGAAACUGUUGUUGAAAUAUUUCAAGGACACUUUUACACUUAUUGUCAUUUUUCAUCCUGUCAGUCUGGGACUGAUUUGGAGAAACUCUCCAUGAUUUACAUCUUAAAAAAAUCUCCUCGUUUACCAAAAACUGUAGUUUAAUAAAAGUCUCACUGCAGCAGCUUCAGUCAGAGUCUGUCUGAAACACGUCACUUUAGUUUAGCUGCUUUUAGACACAGCCUGAGGGUGUUACUUUUUACACAGCUCUGAAAGAUUGUGUGUUAUAACAUUGAAGGGGCUUAAAAAAAGGGAGUCUCCAAAUUCACUUGUAAACAGUGUUAGAGACCCUGUUUGAUAAUUUACACUCUUCAGUAAAUUCAAGUUGGAUAUCUACUUUUUUUAGCAGCUUUGUUACCACAAAAAUAAUCGCAAGGAGAAGAUAAGCAACAUAUUAGCCUUCAAUUAAACCAAAACUGUUGCUGCUGUCAUGAUGUUUCCUCCAGUUUCUGUUUUUUCAGGUUUAAGGUCCUUUUGUGUGAUUAUUUCGGACGUCAAUAUAUUUUUUCGAACCCAUAUCCUGUCAAUUCAAGUGUUCACAUCAGCGACAUUCUCCCGUCCUGUGAUAUUCCGGCAUUUAUUUUUUCAGAUCGAAUUUUCUAAAGUUUCACAUACUGUGUGUCCACUUCUGACCAAUCAGAUUGCGUGUUGUUGCGACGUCAGAUUUAACCGGUAUAUCCAACAUGGCCGACCGGCUGAUUGUUUACGUGUCGGAGAACAGAGUGAUUUUUGAUAAAAGACACAAACAUUACAAAGAUAACGACCUGAAGGACGACUUGUGGAGAGUCAUAGUGUCAGAUUUCUCAUCUGACGAUGGUUUGUGAGCCUUAACAGUUUGAUAAACGUCUUUGUUUUAAACUUUUUUUAGCUCGUAAGCUAACCUGUUCAGAUACAACAUACAACGUAUAUUUGCGUCGUUCCCGGUGUGUAAGGACCUUUAGAGACCUGGUUUUAUACGUUUCACUAUUCUGUAAAUCAGUGUGGGACAUCUACUCUUUUAACGGCUUUGUAACCAGAAAAAACAGCCUAUUCUGAGGAGAUUAGCACCAUGUUAGCCUCCAAUUAAAUCCAAACCCAAAGUUUGUGUCUCUGAGCUUCAUGAGGGUCUUAAGGUCCAGGUUUCAGGUUCCCGGUCUAGUUCAGUCCUGUCGUUGGGUUGAGUUGAAUCUUGCAGAUACCUUGAGCUGUUUCUAAAUUGCGGCGGACAGACGUCAAUGUUCCCUGACAUUUUAUAGACAGAAUGACUAAUGAGAAAAUAAUUGACAGAUUGAUCGAUCAGCAUGUUAGGAACCAGAGCUGGUUGGUUCUGGGUCUGAAGGUGGAGUUCAGAGUUCUGCAGAGCUGUUGGUGUUGCUGAUGUUGGAUGACGGCGUUCUCCACAUGGACGUUUCAGCUCCUGAGACACUGAGGGAGUCGCUGGAUCCCAGAUUCUUUCUUCCACGGGUCAGGGUAGUUAAUGUUUACAUCAGACGUCCCUCUGCUGCUGUAAGCCUGCAGAGUCCAGUAUACUGAUCCGCCACGGGGGGACGGAGAUCCAGGAAGUGACCAAAGGGCUCGGCUAUCAAAUGUUUCACUGAGGGUUGUUUCUUCAGCUCAGCGAAGGUGCGGACAGCCACCCACCAGAUGUUUGUUUUAUCCUGCUGGGAACCCGAUCCAGUAAAUCCUUUUUUUUUUAAGUAGUUCAGAAUAAGAUCGGUCCGUUUCAAAAUAAGAGACGGACUGACAGAAAGAAAGAAUCUCUUAUUAUCUGAUUAUUCCUCUGUGUUCAGUUGUUUUUAUUCCAGAGAAAUCUGCAUCGUUGACUUUAAAAAUCAGAUUUUUUUGACCAUUUUCUUUUUGCAAAUCAUUUUGUUUCCCCCUGACUUUGAUUUCUCUUUUGUUUGGGGUCCAAUUAUUGUGUUUGCCGGUCGCUGUGACAGAGUCAGUGGGUGGCGGCGAGGAGUUUUGUCUCCACCAUCUUUUGGAAAAGCACCGUUUCGUUGUGAUCAUUUCAGGUCACGCUGCGUUUUCUUCAUUUUCCGAAUCACACUCCCCGUCCUCUGGAGUUUUUUUCUUUUUCUCAGAGAAAACAUGACAAAUGAUAAAUAUUUUUGUAAAUACACGGCACCUUGGGUACAAAAAGAAGAAUCGCUGCUUUAUUAUUGAAGUAUUUUGAAUGUCAGCCUUGACUAAAAGACUUUCACUUAUUUCUGAAAAGCUGAAGGUUUUACUGCAGAAAAAAAAUCUUUUGACUUGAAUGUCAGAGAAAUCAGAGGACUCUACCUUUUUACCUGUGAUGAAUGAGUGCUAGUCUUCACAGAGGGAUGCUUUUUUACUCCAAAUCUAAAAAUCUGUCAGACCACUCAGGCACGCCAGUUUAGUCAUCAGUCUAUCUUCAUUUAUGAAUCCAUUCUGGACCAAAAACUGGACCAUCUUUACCCCGUUUUAACCCUGAAAGGCAGAAUUUACUACCACAUUUCGGUAAACUUUACAGAGAUAUUCCUGCGUAAACUUAAUUAAGGGUCAAACACACAAUAACACCAAGUUACGCCAAAUUUUCACCGCAUCUGGAACGGCUCCGAUCCGGAAUGGCAGCGACUUUUGCAAAAUGCCAAUUCCUACUUGAUCUGUUUGUGAGUCGAAUUUCAUGGUCGAUUACAAACAGCAGGAAUCGCGAGAACUCACAAGAACCCACAGAUUUUCAUGCAAUCGCACGAUAAGGAGUUGUCUCUAUAAAGACAGACACAUAGACUUAUAAGCAGUAGAUUGUGUCCUUCCAGAGGAGGAAAUCUACUUCUAGACUUCUAGAAUCAGUCCUGUCAGGACUGUGAUGGAUCGACUUUAUUACAAAUAUUUGAGACACUAAAACUCUGAAUUUACCAGAAAUGACAUAAAAAUCUGAGAUUUUAAAAGUAUGGAUGGAAUAAACCUUCUGAGUUUAAAGAUUUCAGGUGUGCAUGAGACUCACCUGGACAUUGUCCGGGUUGUCUUGCCUCAUAUUGGGGUCCGGGACAGCACCGGUGGAGUAGUACAAACCAAAAACUGUGCUCCAUCGGGGUCUCUGGAGGUGGAGAGUGAGUUUCUAUCCUGGAUAUGGGAUAGAGGUUCAACUCUUUAUCUUUGCAGGACCUCUGGGGGACUCCUGAGGUUCUUCAUUAUCCAAUCAGAAUCUGCCUUGUUGACUCAGGAGCAGGUCUUUGGGGGGCCGAUCUGGGGAGAGGUUUGGUAGAUUUACAGGCUGGAGUUGAAAUCUCAGAAUCUGGAGUCAGGAUGAUUUCCUGAACACUGACCUUCUACCAGAAGAAAAUAUCGCAGCAUUUCUUCUCCUCCGCUCUCUCCAUGUAUACAUCUUCUGUGUGCAAUUACACAAACAAGUCUCAGAGAAAGGACAACAAUCAAUAAUUCUUUAACAGAAAGGUCAGUCCACCCCAUCACUCACAUUAACUCUAUUGAUGAGUCCUGCUCUGCAGUCUGACAAGGGAAAACCAAAGGAAAUGUAUUUUUUCCUCUUUUCCUUCAACAAUAAAACUUCAAUUAGCUGUCCUCCCACGUCCGCGUCGCUCCACUCAAAUCCAUCGUCGGCAAUGGGAAAUACUCGGGGCUUGUUGAUCAGAUUCGUCUCUUAUCAAUGACUCAUUAAUGAUUACCGAUGUGACUGUAGAUCUGUGCGUAUGCAGAUGUUGCCCCUAGUGUCCAAAGUAAGGAAGUGCAUGUACACUGAGAGGAUAAUUUAGUCUAAUAACUGAUGGUUUAAAUUUAAUGUGUCAUUAUUUUUUAAAUGAUUAGAUUAUUCACUGAUAUGCAGGGAUUCCUGGUUUAUACACCAGCAUCUGCACUUUUCAGGAGUUUGAGUUUAGUCGAUUUUUGAUGUUCUAUAUGUGAAAUACCGUAUUUUUCGGACUAUAAGGCGCGAUUAAAAUCCUUAAAUUUUUCUCAAAUAUUGACAGUGCACCUUCUAAUUCAGCACGCCUUAUAUUUGAUUAUUUGUUGUGCUUACUGACCGAUUUUAUGUGGAACAAUGCGCUAAAAAAGUCUGUCUAACUGUUAAAAUUCAACUUUGGUAAGCAUGGAGGCCGCUCCGCUUAAUGGAUAUUCAGAAAAUUACAGUACGCUGUGUCACCAUAGGUAUAUAUAAGAAAGGCUAGAUGACUCGCGGUGGAGUCACCGCUGUCCCAACACGGUGGCCAUCUUACUCCAGUAUAACAUUUUGUUACGCUCUAUGGUAGCUGAUGGGAGGCGAAUAAUCUGCAUGAUCAAAAAUCCUUUUAACUCGCUGAAAUCUUGACAGAUUUAUAAAUUGUUUAGUUUAUUACAGACCUUAAUAAUGUGGCUCUGAGUCGGGAUGUUUGGACAUAUUUAAAUGACAGAUUUACCUUGAGUAAAAAAAAAGACUUCAUCAUGAAGCACAAUUGUUUCACGGCUAUUUGCACGCAAGGGAUGACUUUGAAUUUCUUGUAUGGCAGCCCAUUAUUAAUUAAUUUAUUUAUUUUAUAUAUAUAUCUAUGUUUGUCACUACCUGAUCGGCUCUGUAACAGGACCCCUGAGCAGUCUAAAAGACAGCCUGACUGUAAUGUCUAAACUAGAAGGGCAUUCAUGUAAGACAGCUCGGGCCUGAAGUACACGCUAGCAACAAUAAACCAAUCAAUGCGCCAAUGCUUCAUGCACCUCAAAAUCCGGUGCACCUUAUGCGCAAAAUACAGUAGUUGUGAAAAGUGAAAAUCAUUCAAAGGAGCGGCUUUUCUUCAGAUGCAGUAGCUUAUCUACGGUGCACCAAGAAGGACAAAAAUAGCAAAAACGUGUCUAACCUUCAUGAUAAAAUGUUGUAGAGAUAAAUCGAACCUCUGCAGAGUGUGUGAGGUUGGAGCAGCAGCAGCAGUCUGGAGUUUCUUUAGGAGGAAAGAAGAAAAGCAAAGGUUUGGUCGUCCUCAUUCUCUCCAUCUGCCCCACAUGUCACAGCUGGUUUAGCUCAGCAGACGCUCGAUGCUUAGCUCAGCUCCCCGUGUCCUGUCACUUCAAUCAGCACUCUGCAAAGCACAGGGUCAGGCUGGGACUGUCUUCCUCUUUAAUGAACCAACAGAUAAUGGCCUAUGGGGGCCCUGGAGAGACAUGACACAAAUUGCCUUGUCCUCUGACUGGGAUUAGUGGUAAUUACUGCUCGCCUUGGCAGAUCAAUGGGAUAGUAGUGCAACACGUAGAGGCCACCCUGUGUCACACGCUGGCUUGAUACCAGAGCUCAUGAGGGCACAAUCAAAAGGAAGUGAGCUCUUGAUAUGUCACCGCGGCCCCCUCGAUUCUUUCUGACAAGAGUCAGAUGUGAUGCAGGUUUCAAAAGGAAGCGGGUUACAGAACAAAGACGGGACAAAUUCCACCUGACUGGGCGCUGAGAGGACAUCAGGGGAGCGUGGCGCUAAAACGACCCUUGACAAAGUUUCUCUGAGGAAGCACAGAAGCUGCACGGCGGUGGAGGAGGAGCCUUCAGGAGUUAGGUCUACAAACGCUGCUGUUUCCUGAAUAAACAUGGCGUCCCUGAUUACAACAGAGAUAAAUGUCAACCGCUUGCUUCUGUAGUUAUACCAACUUUUGUGACGACCGCACGAUAGCAAUACACGGCGGUCUGAGGAGCCAUAAACAAACCUCAACCAAAACGCCAAAAUGCCUCCCUGCCCCCUUCAGAAAAGUCAAAUGAACAUCGUUCCCCUUGACCUUCACUUUCUCUUAAAUCUUUGACGUCGUUUUGCGACCGCCGGUUCUACAGGAAGAGGUUCUGCACUGAUGUCAACCCGCUGACAAGGAGCAGAGCAUCGCCCCCCCCUCACCUCUGCAGAGGAGAAACACCCCCCUGAUUAAUGACCGCGGCUCUGCUCUCAUGGGUUUUUAAUUAAAGCGCUCAGAUAGAUGCACAGACAUAGAUGCGCACACAGCCUGCGGCAUCACAGAAGGGCAAGAAGAAUGGGAUUUAAUUGAGAGAGUGUAAUUUAAGAGGGAAAUACAAAUGGACCGCUCCUCUAUGGUGUGACAAUAUUGACCUUUCACCCCAUCCUGGAAUCAGACAGCUCCUCCCACUGUGUGAGAACGCCGCCGGUCACUUAAUUACAAGAUCAUAAAUCAGGAUGGAGAUUACAUGGAAGAGAGAAACAGGGAAACCAGAAGCAUCUCAAGACUCUAAAGUGAAGGGGGACGGGAUCCUCUGGUUUUAUGAGACACAGAUUUGAGUUUAACCCUUAGAGCUCCCAGAUAUAUUUUGCUAUUUUUGGUUUGCCUGUUUUUUUUUUUUUUUUGUAAAAAUCUAUGCGGUAACUCGAUCCUUUUAAGCACAGCAAAUAUAAACACAUCCUUUUUUUUCCAGGACAACCUCAGCUGUCAGUUUAUGGGUGCAAAAUUUAUGUAAAAUGAAUGUAACAGUAGAUUCAGAACCAUCAAAGUCGACCAAAAAAUUAAAACAGGAAUUAACACCAACCGUAAAUUUGCACAAAAAACCCCAUAAAUCUCCAGUGACCAAGCCUUUUCUCACCUGAACAUCAUUCUCUCAAGUCUUGGCUAUCAGGUAUAUCACUGCGGAUUUACCCUCAAACGUCUCUGAUCAAACACCUGUUUUUGUGGCUGGAUUGUAAACCCUGUGGCAGGUGUAGAAAUGUCUGGAAACCCUCUAUAGAUCGCCAAAAGGGUAAACUUUUGAACACUUUUCAUCCCGUAGAGAUACACGGUAUAGUUCCUGAGAAACUUUAAACUAUAUUAAUGGUGUCACGUGGGAUUGUCGGCGAUCCAACGGAGUUUAAGUGUUGAAGAUUUAACAAGAAAAACUAAAUGAGAACACCAGGAUGUCGUGUUUACCCAAAAACUCCAGAUACAGACUCUGCAGAAAUGAGUGAAAUGCACCUUUAGAUGGAGAAGUAAACUUGACUCAAAGAACAUCUGCAGCUCUAGUUUAGUUAUACAACAAAACACAAAACAUGAUGAAAAUUCACAGGUGUUUUCUUCAAACACAACAUCAGACCUGGUUCUGAUCGUUCAGGACCGCAGAUCCUUCUCUCUUCUAAUCACACAACAAAAACAUCACAUGUGAGGUUUAGGGAGGAGCCGUGAUUACACAGACGGACCUGGACUUGAACCUAAUCAAAAGACAAAACCAGAGCCAGAGAGAGAGAGAUGAGCUUUGAUUAGGGUCAGAGUUAACGGUCCGAGUACGUUGGUUGUGUUAAUAAAUCUGUAAAACGGAUACUACGAAUAUUUUAAGACACACAAAGUCACGGAUCCUUCACAGGAGCUGCUGAAGGGUUAAAAAUGUGUAACAUCUUAUCAGAGAGAGGAGCUGAGUUUAGAUCCAGUAAAGUACAGUCAAAGAAGAUUGAUCGGUUGGUUAAUAUCAGUCAAAGUAAACAUUUCCUUUCCUCUGGAGAACCAACAUUAAAUGCAUCAUCCUCUCUAAGACGAGGAGCGCGCUCUCUUCUUGUCAGACUUUUCUCUAAUUUGUUCGAGUUGUCAGCACAGUUCCUGUCACUCAUACUGAUGAGCUAUCAACCCUGACACGGCGUCUACACCGAGGCUGAGUUAUCAGGAGUCUGUAAAUGAUUUUAAUGAGGAAAAAGUUGCAGAGAACAGCUAGAAAGAAAACGAAAAUCUGCGUGAGCGUUAAAGAGAAGAAGGAGGUGGACAAUGCUGGCAGCUUCUCAGGGAGGAAACAAACCGGCUGCUGCAGACGGAAAGACCUGGAACAACCUGUUUCAUCUCAUUUCAUCCAAAUGAGCCGACACACACUUUAGGAGUUUAAAGAAACACACACACACACAACAUGGACGUGUUAAACACAGGUGUUAGUCUGUGCAGUGAUUGGGAUUAAAGGCGUUCAUGGUGGAGGUUUCUUUGUCAUACAGCGUCUCUUUUGUGAUGUUUUAUUAUUCUUAAACAGUGUAAGACGAGGAGAUAAGACCGUUUUUACAUCAUACCGCGGAUUCACAUGCCAUCGCGCAAUGACAAGUUGUCUUUGGCCACAGAGGCUAACCAAAUAAGCAGUAGAUUGUGUCCUUCCAGAGGAGGAAAUCUACUUCUAGACUUCUAGAAUCAGCAUCUCCUCAUCCAUGGUGUCAUCGGGGUGAAAUGACGUCUAAAAACCUUUCACUUGUUCGUCUCCACCCAUUUGCGUGGUGUGAAAUACGAUUUUGAAUUUUGAAAAGGAGCCGGAUGUUUUAUUUUGUGUCUGUGCCCGACUUCCUUUCCAGCACGGGUUAAUCUGUGCUGAAUUUACCCGCCAUGCUCUGGCGUCCGGAAAAGUAGAACUCUUGUGAUCAGCUGAGGAGUCCGGCGAUCCGCAGAGGAACGGAAAGAAGUCGGUGUAAAUUGACACGUUAACUUGAACGGUUACAAUCAGCUGCGAUCUGCAGAUACGACCUUUUCAUAGCUGUUCUAAAUGCGGUGGAAAUUAUGGGUUAGUGUGUUUGUUUAUACUGGUGUGAGAGCUGGUGCACACCAAAGAACUGUACUGGGACCACUUGAAAAGUUUGGUACCAGUACAGUUCUAUUCAGGUUUAUGCUCUAAGAGUCCAUGAACUGAAUUUAAUACUAAAAACAUAUUUUUUUACUCCACACACCAACAGAGAGAGCUCUAACUACAGGAGGCUUUGUGCUUUUCAUGAUUUAACCAGUUAAUAUUCGCUUUGUCUGGAAAUUCAACCUUUUUAACUUAAUGUUUCCCAACAAACCUCCAACAGAGUCUGGGAUACCAAGGCUACUGUAGUGAUUUUGAAUUUAUAAUUAAUGUCCUCAGAUAAAUAAUCUUAAAUUAUGACAUUUUAUUUUGGUGCCCCGUGUGAGUCCGUUUGAAAGGUCAUUAAAACUCUGUCUCUGUUCUCUGAAUUGACCUGUUGUGAAGAGCUGGAGGUUUACGUCAACGUCCGGUCGGGUCUGUUCAGUAACCUGAAAGUCUGAACAAGUCUGUAAAGGUUUAUAUAAUCCUGUGUCCUGGGACCAGAUCAGGGACCUUUCCUGCGAGGAAUGUGUGAGUUUCACCGACACGGUUGUCUUGAUGCUUUACUACUAAUUUCCUUAAAUACUGGUAUCAUCCAAAAAUUACCUAUAAGUCAGUUUAAAACUUCAACACGCUCAUGCAUGCAGAGAAAAUGCUGUUUUUUCAUCCCUCUCUAUCUCCUUCAUUCUGACAUGAACUCUGCAAACCUACAUCCUUCUGCUGAGAGAGUGGAGGGAUGGUCCGGAUCCUGUUCUGGGGAGGGUCUGAGUAUCCUUGAGUCCCCAGCAUGUGUCAGGCAGGGCGGUCAGUAGAAUAAGAGAGCUGAUUGGAUUGUGCAGCCACAUUGCUUGUACCAAUUUCCUGAGUUAAUAGGAAAUCUCUCCUUCCUGCCUCGGCGCCUUUCCCCGGGCUCUGGCAGACCAUCCACGUGGAUAUCGGAGGGAGGGGGUCUUUGUGGUCACAGAGGCGGAGGUAAACAACAACCUCGACCCGACCCUCUGUCACCUCGGUGUUGUCCCCUAAAAAAUCUCAGCGAACACGUGUCGCGUUUCCUCAGGUGUUGGUGGAGGAAGGAGAAAAACUGGCGUGGACAGGUUUUGGAGAAGAUACAAGAUCGAGGCCGCUCGCCAAACGCCACGCUUGUGAGCAUGACUGGACAAACACGGCUGUCCUCCUUCAGAGGCCGAGCCAAAACCGUCAGCCAUCGCCACGUCCACCAUGAUACCCAAAAUCAACAGAGGAGAGGGGGAUAAACACUGGCAUGAGCCGCUGUUCGAGUCCAGAGAGGUUUUCCAGACUGUCCUCAUCUGUCUCUCCACAUCUGCUCGAGUCUCUUGAAACACAAUCGGACGAUCAAACAAACUGUGCGUUUGGUUUUGGAUUUAUCAGAGAAACGGACCGAAUCACUCCCGCCUUUAAUUCCUCCUCUCUUUUUUCCACCUUAUAUGUGUUUUUCCAUCCCCCAACGUCUCCCACAGUGACCUUUUAAAGGUCUUUUAAAGUGGAGGUAGGAGAAGGCACGCCUGCAGCCUCAUAUUAUCGGAUGAGGCGGCUGACAAAUGUGGCAGUGUUCACGCAGGAGCUUCUAUUAAUCUCCCAAACGAUGCAAGGCCUAAUGGGAAGAGGACUUAAGAGAGGACACAGCCGCUUUCUGCUCUUCCUCCAGGACACGGGCAGAGAGUAAUGUCCUAUUGCAAUCAGAUUACUCCUUUCUCCCUCUGACUAUUUCCUGACACCGACCACGACACUCCCCCUCCGAUUUAUUUCACUGGCCACUGUUAAUUCCCACUGGUGGUCAUCCAUCUUUUUUUCCCCUUUAGUUUAGCAGAAUUUAAUCUCUUCCAUUUUUACAAAUCAUUUGUCUUUGCCUCCACGCUGUGGAGAAAUCGUCGAUGAAAGAUUAAACAUAGUAAGCCACACACUGCACAUCCAUUGUAUUACAAGGUCAUGGUGCUCGGGUGGUCGGACAUAGACCGAAUCCUCAAACUUCACAUUAUCGUAGAAAAGGAACUUUUCUCUGCACUUUUUAAAGUCUCCUGUCCUUAAACCGGCGUGUGCAUGUGACAAAACAAAACAGGAGAAUAAAAACUGUAUUAAUAUGUGCUUUAAAAAUGGAGUUAUCAUUGUUUUUGCAGAAGAAAUACUCAGAUGCAGCUAAUUAACACUCAGUGAACAAGAACUUUCUACUCGAGUCUCCGAGGGCUUUGAGAUUAAACAAAGACUCAACCAUUAAAAGUCAUUAUUCUGCUCUGAAAUUAAACAAUUAAAUUAAAGUUUGUAUGAUUAAAAAGGAUGUUAGUUUGAGAACAGGAAAAUGGAUGUGGAGGUACGGCUCUGUGGAGCUUUAAACUGGUUUUAAAUUUGAACAAAAACGUGUUUAAAAGUGAAAUUAACAGGUACGACUUUCAACCAAGUUAACUUUCUUCAAAAUGCCUCAAAUUUACACACUUACUGUUAAAAAACACUGAUAAACCAGCACAUUAUGACCACUAAUAUGGUGGAGGUUCCCUAUUAUCAGGUUUUGGGUAAAGACCUUCAUCAUUAUUUUAUAAAGAAUCAUCAAAGCUGUGAUGGACCCAGGAAGAAAACUUUGGGGUCUUAAUAAACUCAACAUCCUAGAACAAACAAACAAUAUCAAACAUCAGACUUUGUUGACCAGCAUGUCCAGUAGAUGUUGGAUCGACUUCUGAUCUGGAGAAUUUUGAGGCUAAGUGCGUUUUUCUGUUCACCAUAAUGUUGUCGCUCAUUGAUUUAAAGGUGGGGUUAGCAGGAAUCCGUUAAAGAAGCAUCUUAUUUGUGGUGUUUAAACAAAAAAGCUUUUAAUAUAAGUCAAUAGUUAUUAGUUAUUGAUCACAUUUGGUAUUAUAAUGGUAAAGUUAAGUUUUGUUAUGUCUGUGUCGUCAACAUUUUAACAUUUUUGAGCGGUCCGCUCUUUCUGACUGUAAACAAAACCAUUCUCCACCUCCUCUAACCUGAUUGGUUGUGAGGCAGACGCUGCUCCCUCAUGUUGUAAGGCACGCUCCACGUCCUCCAAUCACAUUCACGAGCCAAAACAAAGUUAGCGUGUGACAAUACCAGACAGUAGGAACCAACCAUUAAGUACGAAAAACACAAGAAAACGAAGUAAAUACCGGAGACUCUGGAGGAAUAACGGGCGCUUAAAACGGAGGUAGACCGGACAAGAGCUAAAAAGCCGGGUCAACAUAAACGAUGGGGGACGCUUGGGGAUCUUGGUGACCCUGUAACCUUUCUGCUGGACAGGUAAACCGCUUUAACAAAGUAAGACAAGUGUCUGUAACAGAAGUGUUUCUUGUCAAACGGACCUGCUGUAGCGUGUUGUAGCGCCAUCGCUAAACUGUCCUCCCUCGGGUCCUGGACUAUGUCACUUUAUCCUCGUUGUAGAAGUCCUGCAAACAUUGUGUUUGCUGGUAGUCUGUUGGCAUCUACAGUAGCGCCAAUGCUUUUGACUUUCACCUUGACUGGGCCCCAUUUGUAAUGAUCUGAAGUAUUUAUCUGCAUUAUAUCUGAAUUUAAUUGGAACGAUACGAGCGAGCAGGAGCGUCUGUUUGUGGGCGGGGCUUGAGGGGAGAGGAGGAGC